UUGCUAUCUUUUUCAGAGACUUGAACGGUUAUCCUUCAUACCAGUUUUGUUGAUAUGUUUUGUUAUUGCUCUUGCUCAUGUUUGUUUCUCUAUUUCUUUAAUUUGCAUGCAUGUAUUUUUCGUUCUCUUUUAUGUUUUUGUUGGUUUGUAUGUAGUUUGUUUUUAGGGGUAAGGUUGAUUAUGUCCUUCCCUAAUUACACGUAUCCUUUUUAUGUUUAUUCAAUAAAGCUUCUCUAAUACUAUCGAGGUUCAUCAAAAGAAAAUUUUUAAUUAAUUUUCUUUUCUUUGACAGGUAAUGAAAUUCUAAUCUUCAUAGUGAAUAACUUCAAUAAUAGAGUAUAAGAGUAUUAGUAGUUAUGGUUGUUUUUUGAACCUAAAGUCAAGAGCAAUUUAACAGCAACAAACAAGCCUCUUGUAUUAUAGGCAAAAUUCUUUUCAUUAAUCUUAUUUAUCUACAUGUUCUCCUUUUUUCUCCAUUAAUCUUCGCUCAAGCUUUCAUGCUUCCUCUUUGAUAAAGGAAAAUAUUACUUGCGAAUAUUUCAAUUUGACAUAAGAGACUGUUUUGCCAACCAUUUGAUAAAAUGGAUAUGAGUGGAGCUUUCAAUCAUUACCUCCACCAAAAUCCUUACAACGCCACUUUUAAAUUUUAUUUUUUAAAAUACAUUCAGUUUAAUUUAUAAAAAAUAAAUCCAUUUGUUAAAAUUAAUCUUUUUCUCAUAAAUUUCAACCUAAAAAAUAUAUUUCUUUUAAAUUUUUAAUUAUAAAAUACAUACAAGUUCUAAACUAUUAUUUUAUUUUCUUCUUAUUAUAUAGUUUAUAUCUCCAUAACUCUAAACUCCUAUAAUUUUUUUUAAAAUGUUUUUAAUUUAAAAUAUAAAUAUUAAGUAUAUAAUGGAGUGGGUAUAAAAAAAUUUGUUAAAAGAAUAAUUCAUUUAAGUAUUUAACUAAAUUUAAAUUAAAAUAAGAAAUAAGUUAAUUUAUUUUUUAUUAGUUAAGUAAUUUUCAAUUGAAAAAGAGCUGUAUGAGUAAUAUUAUUGAAAUAUGAUUAAAAUUCUUAUGAAUUAAAUAUUUUCGUAUAAAUACUAGUGAUAAUUACAGAGAAAGGACAAGGAACCAAAGAAAAUGUGAAUAUAAAUACUCCAAUGUAAUUUUACACAUGCAAAUUAUGAACCAGUGAUCUUUAGAGCAUCAUAAAAUUAUUUUGACAGAAUUACUUAUUUUGAAAAAUUGCCAACAAUGUUUAAAGUGGGAUUGAAAAGAUUAUACUACUUAUAUAAGACAUGAUAUCAUUUAAGAUGGCUUACGAAUUAUAAAAAAUAUAUUGAUCUUACAAAUAUUUAAUAUGUCAAUUAGACGGGCCCAGCUACCUUCCACCUGCUAGAAGGUACAUCUUAUUUUGUCCUCUAGUGUUGUGGGCGUUGGAUAUUUUAGAAGUUGAUCUAACGGUUCUUGUUCGACAGCGUGAAAUUGAAUUUCAAUUGGCAACCGUUUCAUGAACUUUGCAAGAGACAAUUAUCUACAAAAAUAUUAAAAAAAUAAAACCAAUUUUUCCCUUUCAUCAGCCGCCGCCGCCACCCACGAACCCUUAAUAUCAUCAUCACCAUCCCAAUCCUUAGUCGCCAUCCACAAGCUCUAACAACCACCAUGACCGCCAUCACAACCACCACUCCUCACAACCCCUAGCCACCACUACAAACAUUCACAAACUCCAACCAUAAUUGUCAGUUCACCAACAUUAUCCUCCAUUGACGCGGCCUACCAAUCAUCCACAACACCUAACCGUCGUCACCAACAAACUUUCGCCACCGCUUCCUACAAGGAAGCCUCACCACCCACCACCGCACACACACAAAGCCACACCAACCGCCAUACUAUUGCGACAGAGGCCACAAUGUAGACAAAUUCCCUAAGAGGAAGGAUGUUUUCCUUCUCCAGCUGACUAUUCUUUUUUAUCCUUUUUUUUGUUUUUUAAUUAUUAUAUUACUUUUAGUUAUUUUUAGUUUUUCUUUUAUUUUGUCUAUAUUUUGGUUGUUAGAAUGUUUUUGUUGUUGUUGUUGGCGGCAGUGCAGUUGUAGCUCAUGAUGAUGAUGGUGAUGUUGGUGUCAUUUUAAUCGAGAUUUUGUUUUUUUUUUACCGGCUACGCCAGUCAUCUUCAUUCAUUACAUGUCCAUUUCUAACAUGUUAGAUUUUACUACUUUUUAAUCCAAGGGUUAGACCACAACGAGACGAAAGAUGGGGUACCUUCCAAUGGGUGGAAGGUAGUUCGGCCCAAUUUAGACAGAGUCUAUGCAAUAAAAAUUUCAAAUUAAAAAAUAAACCUUUUAUUUUCUUUUAAUCAUAAGUGUGAUCUUAAUUAUUAACGUCUUUCAAUGUCCAUUACUUAUUUAUUUUUUUAAUUACCUAAAUGACAUUGAAAACUCUACUCAAUAAUAAUUCGUUCAAAUGUUUUAUUUUAAAGUAAUCGGAAACUGCAAAUGAAACAAAUGCUUGAAAUCACAAACGGCCUAAAAUUAGAUUUUCAUUUUUCAAUGUUGCAGUGACUUUGAUCUUGAUAUUGAAAAUUUAUUUGUAACUUAUAUAAAGGCCUCAAUUUUAUCAUAAUUGGUUAGUAAGGCUACGUAGGGAGCAUGGAUAAAUUUUGGGAUUGGAUUAUAUUUUCGAAGCUAAAAAAUUAAUUUCAUCUAAUGUUAUGUUUGGUUGUCAAGACUAGCAACUUAGUCUAAAAUUAUUGAAAUUACUAAUCUUUUAUAUUAUAAUCUUUUCGUUCCCACUUUAAACAUUAUUGGUAACUUAAAUCAUUUUUUAAAUUAAACAUAAAAAUCAUUUAAAUUAAAUAUUAACAUUAAUUUCAUAAGUUUUUUACCUAGAAUUUUAUAUUAUAUUAAAUACUACAAUUCUAUUCAAUAAUGUAUUAUCAUUUAUUUAAUAAAUGUUUAGGUUUUCAGUAUGUUAUAUUAUUAUUUAAAUUAAUUUUUUAUUUACAUAUAAACAUAAAUUUAUAUUUACUAAUUUAUAUUUAUUAUAAUUUAUUAAAUAAUAAAAUCUAAAUGAUUAUAUUUAAAAUAUAAUUUGUAUGUUAAUGUAUUAUAGCCUAAAUCUUACCCCUAUGAGUUUAUUUUUUCCACCUUUUAUUCUAUUAACCACAUUUAUAAGGCAGUGCGAUGCAACUAAAAAUUAUAACCAAAUAUAAGUUAGCAUGAAAAUAAUAUUUUAGUACAAUACAAUACAAUGUAAUAUAAGCUGACAAAUAGAUAUUUAAUGGAAGCAAAAAUUGCAUAUGGUUUGUCGGCCUCUCAAAAGACAGCAAAGAAACCAAUAUGAUACACUGAUUCUGUCCUCUUUAGCAGUGCCUUUACUAAAUAGGAAUAAAAAUGAAUUAGAAUCGGAAUAGAUUAUAAUCGAAAUGAGGAAUUAGAAAAAGAAUAAGUUAUUUAAUUAAGUUGUAUGAAUUAGAAUUGAAAUAAACUUCAUUCUAAUUGAUGUGUUUAUUUUCUCUUGAAAUUAGAAUGGACUAUUACAAGUUACUAAAAAAUCAUUUGGUAAUUGAUGUCUCUAGUAUUAUUUGUAUUUGUUAUAAUGUUAACAAUAAUAAGAAUAAAACUAAUACUAAAAAUGAAAAUAAUAAUAAUAAUAAUAGAGACAAUAAUAAUAAAAUUAAUAAAUUAUUAUUAUUAUUAUUAUUAUUAUUAUUAUUAUUAUUAUUAUUAUUAUUAUUAUUAUUAUUACUACUACUACUACUACUACUACUACUACUACUACUACUACUACUACUACUACUACUACUACUACCACCACCACCACUACUAUUAGUACUGAAGACCGCCCGGUAAAGAUUGGAUAGUGAAAAUGAAGACGACGAAGAUCCCGGCAACCACCUGCUACUCCAAAGAUGAUGUGCCCAAAUGGAGACAACCAGUGAUGACUAGCCAACUAGAUCCAAAUCUCGAUAUUGUGAUCUUGCAUGACCAUUGAUAAAGCGAUGUGUGAUGUCGGUGUUGUGAUUUCUUUUUUAUUUAUAUUUUUUAAUUAAUCAGGGGUAUUUUCAAAAUUUAGUAAUUUUAAUAUGGGCAAAUUGGAUAGUCUAGUGAACAGGAGACUAAUUCCCAAUCAUCCUAGAAAUUAGUCUCUCAUUCUUUAUUUUUAAUUUAAUGUGGGUUCCACUAUUUCGAUUCCAAUUCUUACAUUUAUUUAUAAAGUAAAUAAUGUUAAUGAUUUCAAUUUCCAAUUCGAAAAAUAAACACAUCAUAAUAUUUUUUUAGGUGCUUCCAUGACAUAAUCUCAUUGGUCCAUUUUUCUUCAUGCCUUAUAUUCAACUUCAAGAUUCAAGAUUCAAUUUGAAGCAAACACAACUACAAAACAAAUAUAAUAAGCGUUAAUAAGCCUGUGGCCAAGCAAAUGUAACUUGUAGUGACCAAUCAUAUCUUAUUAUCUUCCGCCAGAAGUUAAACAAUGUUCCCAUUCCACGUGUCACUCUCUGACCAAUCCCCGAACUUUCUUCAUAUUUCCAAAGAAACCCUCACCAAGUCAACAUAAUUACCUUCACUCUACUCAUAUAAAUACUGUCCUCGAUUCGACUGAUGUCUGAUGACGACAUAUCCUUGGUCUUUAAUUAAAGAAAAAAGGACACAGAGACUCCCAACGUUUGAAUAAGGGACAUAAAAUUUUUUAAUGUUUUAAAAAAGACACUCAGACCCCCAUUUGUUAAUAAUAAAUUAUAAUUUUACCAUUAUACCCUUAUAGCAUAUUAAAAAUUAAUUGUUCAUUAUCCAAUUUAUUUCCAUAUUAUUAAUAAAAAUUACGAAUAUAACUUCAUUACCCUAUUUUUCCAUUUAUUUUUUAUCAAAUUUUAUCUUCAAACUAAAUAAAUUUAAUCCAUUGCUCAAAAAUAAAAAUAAAUUAAAUUGAUUAUUAAUAUAAUACAAAUAACAAUUCUCCAUAUGUUAUUUCUUAUAAUUUCUUAUAUAUAAAUUAAAUUGAUAAUUUCUUAAAAAUAACAAUUCUCCAUAUAUAAAUUAAAUUUAUUUUAAUUUAAUAUAUGUUAUUUUUAUAUUAAAUAUAUGUUAUUUUUAUUAUAUUAGUAAUCAAUUUAUUUUUAUUCUUGAGCAAUGGAUUAAAUUUAUUUAGUUUGAAGAUAAGAUUUGACAAAAAUUAAAUGAAAAAAUUGAAUAAUGAAGUUAUAUUCGUAAUUUUAUUAAUAAUAUAGGAAUAAAUUAGAUAAUGAAUAAUUAUUUUUUAAUAUGUUAUAAGAGUAUAAUGAUAAAAUUAUAAUUUACUAUUAAUAAAUAGGGGUCUGAGUGUCUUUUUUAAAACAUUAAAAAAUUUUAUGUCCCUUAUUCAAACAUUAGGGACCUCUAUGUCAUUUUCCCUUAUUUAAAAGUGGAAAUUAUAAAAAAUUCUCCUCGUUCCCUAAAGAUCUAGGGUUUCUCGAGAAUCGCUAAACCUAGAUCCCAAUCCUUCAAAAUCUCAAUUUAACCUCUCUAGGGUUUCGAUUAUCGAGGAUUCGCUUCAAAAUUUAGUAUUUUUUAGGGGAUUUUGCUUGUCUCGUAUCCUUCAAUUGUUGUUCGGUUCUGAAAAUAAUUUGGAAUUUUAGGGAUUUUCAGAUUAUUUGGUUUUGCUUGAGUGCAAUUUCCUCUAGUUACGGUUUCAGUUUGAAGGGUUAAGUGCGAUUUCGAAUAUUUUUAUAAAAUUAAAAUUAAAAUUCAUAAAACGACUGGGCUUUUAAUAAUUAAUUGCUGGCUAGCGAUACUACAACGGCGGCCGCAGCUGCAGAAGAAGCAGAGGCGGUGGAGGAGUAUGAUAGCGAUCCAGAUGAAGUGAAACGCUCUCUUGCGAUGCGCAGAAGGGAAGCCAGCGAUGAGGAGGUUGAGGAGGAUAAAGAUUCAGAGCUUCCAAUAGUUCAAAGUGUCCACAUUCCUGCGGGAGAAGCGGAGGCUGUGGAUGAGUAUGAGAGCGAUCCAGAUGAAGUGAAACACUCUCUCAUUAUGCGCAGAAGGGAAACAAGCGAUGAUGAUGAGGAGGAGACAUAAUUUGAGCGUCGAAUGAAUUGAAGGGUCCAGAUUCACUCUUACAUUGAAUCUGAUGGCCAAGGUGGUGCUCCAGCUGAGUAUGAUGAUGAUGAUGAUGAAGAAGAGGAACAUGACAGAGAAUUAGAAGAAGAAGAUGAAGAAGGGGAUGUUUAUGAGGCUGUAGAGGAAGAAGAAGUUUAUGAAGAAGAGGGGAGGAAUGAUGGGGCGGUUAAAGUCAAAGGAAUAGAGGGUAAUGAUGCAUAAGGAGUACGGAGGGUGCAGUGGAAGUGAGUAAAGGGAAUAAUGAUAAUGGCAAUGGUGCUAAAAGAAUGAUGCAGCAGAGGAGAGAAUGGAGAAAGAGAAGAAGGAGAGUAAUGAGCCUUUUGUACAGCAACUGGGGCUUUUUGCACAGCAACUGGGGCUUCUUAUAUGGGACAAUGUUGCAGGUCGACACAGGUAUUAUUUGAUUUGAGUGACAAUUUAUAAAUAGCUAAUAGCUGUACUUUCAUUAGUGCUUGUCAAUUAAUCCAGUCUCGUUUUUUGGUGCUGUAUAAUGAUUGUUUGCUGGAAUCUGUGUAGAAGGCUUUUGGCCUAGUAGGUUGAAAGGAGAGAAAGUUCUCAAAUAAACAUCUGUGCUUUGUGGAAUAUAAUUAAUAGGUACAAAGCAUACUAAAUUACUUGACAGAGAGAUGCCGAGCUAAUCAUGAGCUAUGAUAGCAUCAUCCGUGCUUUGUGUAUUUUUAAUAGGGCUUGUCUAUUUCAAAGUGUGUAGUAAUUUUUGGGUUUAGUUUGAGUGAUGAAGUGUUAGAUGGGUUUCUGUUUGGCAUAGUUAAGUGGUUAAUACGAGCUAUUGAAGCAAAUAUGGAGUAGGAUAUCUAGUUUUGGGUUUGGUCUUAGUUUGAAGAUGGCUACUGAUUAUGCAGCUAGGUACUAAUUAGUGUUUGUGGAUUGCUAAAUGCUUUCUGUCAAAUGUGACUAGAUUAUUACUUGAAGUGCAUGGAUCUUACACUUAAUUAAUUAUAUAUCCAUUUGUAAUGUACAAAAUGAUCAUGUACUAUUGCUUAAAAUUAUGUUUUCAAGACAUCAUUUUGAAUCCAUGGUUGUAAUGUGUCUCUAAAUUCAGUAAGACAAGUUCUGUCAAUUGCUGUCGGAUGGCAGUGACUUGAAUAGUUUAAUGUUCAUUUGCAGAAAAAAAUUGAGAAAGAAAACUAAAAAUUUCUGUGCGUUCUGCUGGAAAUUUAAUUAGCUUCAUUUGAGCAUUAAUUGCUGGCAUUAUCUCUUAGAUUUCUCUUGCAUUGAAUGAAUGGAUGAGUGCUAAUCCAUGCAAAGACUUCCAUGCAUACACAAUGAAUGCUUCAUCAAAGGUAUGGUAAAAUGUCAACACGCUUGGCCCAAAUUAUCAAGCUGGUGUGGUGGCUGCUAGAUUUGUUCAUCCGGAUUUUGGACCAUUUUCAUUGACAAUGAGAAAAGCUGCAAGAUCUGUAAAUCGGAAACUCAUUGAAGUGCCAAAAGAGAGAUGGAAGUGAAUAACUAGGGAGUUAGUGAAAAGAGGGUGCAGUGAUUGUGUGGGAAGCUUUGGGUAUAUUUGGGGUUUGGAUGUAAGAUAAAAUAAUUUGAGAGAGAGGUUGUAACAAUUUUUCGGUAAUAGAGUUUUUCAGGUAACUCUUGUGUUGUGUGAUUGGAGUAUUCUCUAUUGUAUUUUUUUAUUUGUUAUUUAUUUGACAUAUUGCUAGCGGAGAUCUUGGGUGGGAGCCAAAAAUUCCCAACAAUUGUCAAUUGUUUUAAACUCUAUUUCGAACAGAGCAUGAAGGGAUUCACUUAUCUGAUUAUGUCUUUUAUGCUUUAACUUCACUUGAUUUCAUCUUGUCUGUCACCUUUAUUAAAGUUGUAUAUGUUGGAGUAUUAGGUUCAUCACAGGGAUCAUAUUAUGGCUAAGGAAGGGGCACAAGAGUAUUUGGAUUCAAGACUGUUAGAAGGUUGUUACAAUGCAAGGCUGUUGCUGUGUAACUGUAUGCCAUUCACGCAAGUGCACUCUUAACAGAUUGCUGAGCUGGCACCGGAUGUUUUUAGCUAAUAUUAGUUAUUGGUCUAGAGUGUUCUGAUUUAUUCUAUAAAUAGCUCAUUUGAGCUUAGAACCUUUAUAGUGUAUCAUACGUUUCCGUUACUUCUAAUAAUGAGUUUCUCUAUUCCUUUUUCUUUCACUUUCUCUUCCAUUUUCAUGAUCCCCAAACACCAUCAAUCCAUGAUUUUCUAGAGUAUUAGUUGUCUAUUUCUACAAGGGGAAAUAUCCACCGUCCACCUGAUUUUGUUUACUUUUUUAAAAAUAUACAAAUCCUAAAUUUUUUAGCUGCGCUCCACCUGAACUUAUAAUUUUUUUCACAUUUCCACCUCCGUCUGCAAACCGUCAAGGCGUUGCUGAUGUCAUAAGGCUAAAAUGAUAAUUUCACUUGGGCUUAAAAAACGACGUCGUUUAAGAUCUGUAAUAAGCAAAAAAAAAAGUUAUUUCAGUUUCAAGAAUCCAAACAAAAGCUUUGAUAAACUCGAAGCUCAAAGCUUAAUUAUUCUCUGGUCUCUACUCACCACAUUCGCAUUCAUGGCUGCACAAGACACACAAAUUGAGAGCGAAAAUAAAGACUCAAAAGAACCCAAAAACCUGUUCGCACACUUUAUAAACUUAUUAUUUUCUGCUCCAAUAUUUAAUAAUAAGCAAGAGAGAAAUAAAAGUGAAGGUGAAGAAAGAGAAGCUGCAGAGGCAAGCAAGAAACGAGAGGUGGUGAAAUUUUCGCUUUUAAAAAAAUAAAAAAAAGAAAGAAAAAGCAAAGGCAAAGCCAAAAUCUUCUACUCUGAAAGUCAUCGACCAUAGUCAUGGCGGAAAACACAGAAAUUGCUUCCAGUCCCAGAAAACAAGAAAACAAAAGCAUACUCUCGCGGUUGCCGAAAUUCCAACUCAAUCUCCAUUUCUUCUUUAAUCAACAACCUAAGAAAGUAGAAGAAACUGUUGUUUCUAAAGGGACUGCCAAAACGUCAACGGUUAGUGAAGCCGAUGACGGUAAUGCUAGUAGUGUGAAGCCGAGCUUGGCUAGGUUUCCAGACGCCACACGUCCGAUUCUUCCGCUGCCGAUUGAGCUCGAGGCCCAAGAGCCCGCCGGGCGGACUUCCAAUCCUGUCGUUCUCUGGCAGGUUCGCUUUCUUCCGUCUGUUCCUGUUUGGUUCCCGAGAAAAUGUGGGGUCCUUUUGUGUUGCGAGAUUGCGAGAUUUUAUAAUAUUUGUUUAAAAAAUAAAAUUUUUGAAAGGAUUUCAAGAUUUUCAGUCUUUAUCUAGGGCUACAAUACUCACAAAGUUAAUAUUUUGGCGUUUAUUGAGGGUAAAUAUAUAAUUUUUUAUUUUCGGGGUUAAAAAGUAAUUUGGACAAAAUUCCGUUAGUUUUAUUGACGGUUUACAGACGGAGGUGGAAAUGUGAAAAAAAUUAUAAGGUCAUGUGGAGCGCAGCUAAAAAAAUUAGAAUUUGUGUAUUUUAAAAAAAGUGGACAAAAUCAGGUGGACGGUGGAUAUUUUCCCUUUCUACAAACAUAAAAUUGUUGUUUUAAGAAACAAAGUACUCUGUCCUGUCACCCGCGGUCUCCUCGUUUAUCGACUUGUGAACAGGGCUAAAUAAACGGCAAAUAAGAUAUUAGGUCAAUGGGUCUAACGUGACAAGAUAUUGAAUUAUUGCCCUUUUCUUUUCUCCACAAAUCUUUGGUUAAUUUUUAGGUUCUCUCAACUUUUUUCCCCUUUAGCACUAAAAUUCAUUUUUGAUACUUUAUGCAAAAAUUAUGAUGAAAAUGAGUCACUUUAGAACAUUAAUAAAUUUUUAUUUUUACAUCCAAAAUAACGACAGUUACACUUAGAUCACUCUCAUUUAGUUGAACUAUAUAGGUAAUAAAGUUGGCUUAACAAAAUAUGAUUCUUAACUGUUGUAAUUAAGCACUAGUAUUCUUUGGUUUUAGUUGUAGGGCUUAUAAUGCCGUGGCUCAGUUCUUGGUGGGUUCAAAUUAUUAGACGAUCAUUCUCAAUCCUUUACGAUUCGUAAUUAAAAAUUCUUAUAUCACAAUUAGAACUUACAAACAAGUCAAAGUGGGUAAAAUCAUAUGUAUAAAUUCGAGGUUUAUUACAAACUUUUAAAAAAGAUUUUCUCUGUUUUUUUUUUCUUUCACAUUCUCUUCCAUUUUCUCAAUCCCCAAACACCACCAAUCCCUGAUUUUUUGAGUAUUAGCUGUCUGUUUCUACAAACAAGUUCUUGAAUUGAAUGGCUCCUCUUUUAUCCAUAGAUCUUUGCUUAAUAUUUUUGUUCCCUCAACCUUUUUCGGCCCUUUGCUCUAAAAUUCUUUUCUGAUACAUUAGCAUUACGCAAAAAUUAUGAUGAAAAUAAGUAUGCCAUGCCGGCAAGUGUAUUGUACAGAUUUCUAGAGUAUUACCUGUCUAUUUUUUUCACCGAUGACGAAGCUAAUUAUUAGUAAUCAAUCUAAAGUCUACCUAUAAAUACAAUAGGUUGCUUAGGUGGCACCAAUAUCCUAACUUUAUGCCAUGUUUCUGGUGUGUCUUCACAAAUUCACCGAUACAAAUUAAUUUCUACCAAUAUUACCAAAUGAUUGUAUUUUACGUUUCUAUUUACUUGUAAUAAAGAUCUUCAAUUUUAUUGGUUACAAAAUUCUCUAGGAUUGCAUGUACAUUAUACUUUUAUAUACAUAUUUUCUUCUUUCUCAUUCGUUUUCUGGGUGAACAUAUUAUUUUCGUCAUCAUCUCUAUAACAAUGAAGUGAAAAUAGUCCUCAUUUAAAGUAUUGACAGCAAUGUUAUACUCAAUAUAACGUAUAAAGCACGCAUAAUUUAAUUAAUGGGGCAGCUGCUAGUACCUUCUAUAGAAGAGAAUUAUUGCAGCAAGUUAAUUGGAAGCUCAAAGAGUUUCCGUAUUAGCCGAAUCUAAGCGAUAAGUGUUUCCAUGUGAGACAUAAUUUGGGAAAAAGACCAAUUCGAGUUAAAGAUCAGAAAACAAACACUGUCAACAAGCAUUAAUGUCAUUUGAUGCAUGAAAGACAAUUAGUCCCAUUUUUUUGUCCUGUUUACUUGACUUGGGCAAUUUGCCGUCAACUUUUCUCAUCCACGUCAGGUAAUGUGGCUUUUAUUUGGUAUGAAAAAGCCAAUGCUUUACGAUAAAACUAUCACACACAUAUUAUCCAUCUGUAAUGUUCAAAUGACACUCAAGUAUUACCUAAAUUAGCCUUUUAAAAAUUCAUUUUCAAAAACCCAUGGUUGUGAUGUGUCUCUAUAAAUUAAGAUCUAUCUGUUACCAACUGUUUUAACUCUGUUCUGAACAGAGCUUGAAAGGGUACAUUCACUUAUCUAGUUAUGUUUUUUAGGCUCUCACUUUAUUUGAUUCACCUUAUCCCUCUUUUGAAACAAUUGUUCACUGGCUGCACUCAGUUAACAGAAUAUUUUGGGAUUCAAAAUAACAUCUUAUUUUCUAAAAUAACUAAAUAGAAUCUUACAGAAUUAGAGUGCCUGACUUCUUCAUACAGUGCUUGACUUCUUUUUACAGAAUUAUAAAGUGAAAAAAUAAAUUAAGAAAUUAAAUACUUUUCAUGCGAGUGGAGAAGAUUGGGUGGCGAUUACAUUAAAUAAAAGAAAAAUAAUUUAAAAGUACAACCCUUUAAUAAUCUCAUUCCCAAUAAAUCGUUGAAACGUCUUGCUUCAUAUUGUUCUUUUUUUUUUUUUUGAUUAAUUGGCCUAAAUAUUGUAUUUUUGUCAGGAGUCUUGCAAUGCUGCGUAACACCGUAGUAAGAAGAAACGUGUCUAAGGUUGCCACGUGUUGUCUCAACAUCUGUGUGAAAACCGAAUUAACCAGUUUGCGUUCGACAACAAAGGAAAAUCUUUAUAACACCCUUUUUAAUUUUAUUUUCUGAAAUACACUCAGUUUUAUUUGUAGCAUAUAAAUCUAUUUAUUAAAAUUAAUCAUCUUUCCAGAAAAUAUCAAUCUAAAAAAUAUUUUUUUAAAUUUUUUUAUAAAAUACAGAUAAAUUCUAAUUAUAAAAUUUAUAUCUCUAUAACUCUAAACUCAUUUAAUUUUUUAAAAUUAUUUUUUAAAUUUAAAAUAUAAAUGUAAAAUAUAAAAUAAAUCCAUGUAUGUCAAUACUAGAUGGUUCCAUAUUAAACCUGUGAAGUGUAGAAAAUAAGCGGGAUUCGUAAAAAAUAUUUUAGAUAAUAACAUUGAAAAGUGAUAAAAAUAUUUUUUUUAAAAAAAAGAAAUACAUACUCGAGACACCAAGACCGGCACGCACAAACUCACACAUUUAUAUAUUAAUUGAGGGGGAAAAUGAUAUUCUAAGUAAUAUUGUUGACAUGUGAUAAAAAUUCUUUUUAGUGAAACAUUUUUGUAUAAAUACUAGUGAUAUUUGUAGAGAAAGUAGAAUGAAGUGAGAAAAACUUGAAUAUAAAUGCUCCAAUAUAAUUUCUCCCAUGCAAAUUAUGAACUAGUGAACUUUAAAGCAUCAUAAAAUUGUUUCAACAUAAGUAAUUAGUUUGAAAAAUUGCCAAUAAUGUUUAAAGUGGGAACGAAAAGAUUAUACUAUAUGAGACACGAUAUUAUUUAAGACAACUUACAAAUUACGGGAAAUGUAUUGAUCUUACAAAUAAUAUUUAAUAAGUACAAAUUUCAAAUUAAAUAAUAAACCCUUAAUUUCCUUUUAAUCAUAAUUAUGAUCUUAAUAAUUAAAGUCAUUCAAUCUUAAUCACUUUUUCAUUUUUUUAAACUAUCUAAAUGACAUUGAAAACUCUACUCAAUAUUAAUUUAUUCGAAUGUUCUGUUUCAAAAUAAUUGAAAACUGUAAAUGAAACAAAUGCUUGCAAUCACAAAUGGCCUAAAAUGGGAUUUUUAUUUUUUAAUAUUGCAAUGACUUUGAUCUUGAUAUUGGAAAUUUAUUUGUAACUUAUACUAAGUCUUCAAUUUUAUCAAAAUUAGUUUCUAGAGAUGCAUUUGCCAUACUGUGUAGUUGUAUUGUAUGAUGAUAUAUUACAUUAGAGUGCAUUGUAAUGAGAUGUAAUGCAAUACUAUUUUAUAUUAAUGUUAAAACUAAAUCAACCUUAUUUAAAUUUAUUAAUAUUUUAGGGUUUUAAUAGUAAUAUCUGAAAUUAAGUAUUAAAUAAUUAUUUUUAUAAUAUACAAAUUAUUUAAUAAUAUUCUACUAUUAAAUAAUAAAAUAUUACAAUAUUAUGUUAUAUUAUUAACAAUUAUUCUGUUAUAAUAUAAUUUAUUUUUAUAUAUUAGUUAUUAUAAUUUAUUAUAAUCAUAUUAUAAUAAUAUUAUAUUGUAAAAAUACAAUACUAUAUAAUUGUAUAAUAUAAUAUGAAUUAAUUUAUAACUUAACAUUAAAUUAUAAAUUUAUUUUAUUUAUUAAUGUCAAAUAUAUUUGUCUAAUUUAAAUUUGGUAUUUUUUUAAAAAUAAACUAUUAAAUAAUUAAAAUGAUUUUAUAGAAUAAAGUAAAAUAAUGUAUUAUUAUUUAUUAAUUAAAUAUUUAGGUUUAUUAAUAUACUAUAUUAUUAAUUAAAUUAAUGAAUAUUAAUUAAUAUAAAUAGUAUUAAAUAGUAUAUUAAUACUAUAUUAUUAAUAUACUAUAUUAUUAAUUAAAUUAAUGAAUAUUAAUUAAUAAUUUAAAUUUAUUAAAUAAUAAAUUUAAAUGAUUAUAUUUAAAAUAUAAAUAGUAUUUUAAUGUAAUAAAACCUAAAUCCCACAUGUAUACCACAUUUGUUAUACAGUGUAAUGCAACUAUAAAUUAUAAUUAUAUAAAAAUAAUAUUUUAAUACAAGUAUAAUGCCACUUGAGAAAUUGAUAUUUUAAUGGAACCAAAAUUUGCAUUUGGUUUGUGGGUCUCUCAAAAAAUAAUAAUAAAAACCAAUAUAAAACACUGAUUCUGUCCUCUUUAAUAUUUUUCUAAAUGCUUCCAUGGCAUAAUCUCAUUGGUCCAUUUUGUUUCACAGCUUAGAUUCAACUUCAAGAUUUUCAAUUUGAAGCAAGCUGUGGUCGACUGGCCGUGGCCAAACAAACGUGCCUCAUGGAGUCAUGGUGACUGAAUCAUCUCUUAUCUCAGAAUUUGAACUUAAACAAUUUGAACUUAGACUGUUUUUUUAUUGUCGAAGAUUCGCUUCAAAAAUUAGUAUUUUUUAGUGGAGUUUGCUUGUCUCGUAUCCUUCAAUUGUUGUUUGGUUCUGAAAAUAAUUUGUGAUUUAGGGAAUUUCGAUUAUCUGGUUUAGUUUGAGUGCAAUUUCCUCUAGUUACGGUUUCAGUGUGACGGAUUAAUUGCAAUUUCGAAUUUUUGAUAAAAUUUAAAUAUUUAUUUAUUUAUUUUGAGAAGGCUAGUGAUAAAAUUGGGCGGUUAUUAAUUAAUUGAUGGCUAGUGAUACUACAACGGCGGCCGAAGCUCCGGAAGAAGCGGAGGCGGUGGAGGAGUAUGAUAGCGAUCCAGAUGAAGUGAAACACUCUCUCGUGAUGCGCAGAAUGGAAGCAAGCGAUGAUGAGGAGGAGGUGGAGAAAGAAUUUGAGCGUCGAAUAGUUGGCGAUGAAUCUGAUGAAUCUGAUGCGCAGAAUGGAAGCAAACGAUAGGGCAGUUAAAGUCAUUGGCUGCACUCAAUUAUUAGAAGGUUGUUACAGAGGUAAGGCUGUUGCUGAGUAACAGUAUGCCAUGCUGGCAAGUUUGCUAUAGCAGAUUGCCAAGCUGGCACUAAUUAUUUUAAACUAAUAUUAGUAAUUAGUCUAGAGUGCUCUAAUUUAUUUUAUUCUAUAAAUAGCUCAUUUGAGCUUUGAACCUGUAACGUGUACUGUACUUUUCUAUUACCUCUAAUAAAGUUUUUCUCUGUUCUUUUUUCUUUCACUUUCUCUUCUAUUUUCCCGACCCUCAAACACCCUCAAUCGUUGAUUUUCUAGAGUAUUAGCUGUCUGGUUCUACAAACAUAGAACUGGUGUUUGUUUGUUUGUCUAAUUACCUUUAAGAAACAAUAUACUCCACCCUGCGGCCUCUUCGUUUAUUGACUUAUUACUUGUGAUCAAGGCUCAAUGAAGGGCAAAUAAGAUGUUGAGCCAAUCGGCCCAACAUCACAGAUCUUGAAUUGAUUGCCUCUUCUUUUCUCCACAAAUCUUUACUUAAUUGUUAUGUUUCCUCAACUUUUUUCCCCUUUUUGUGCUAAUUUUUUUUUUUGAUACUUUAUGCAAAAAUUAUGAUGAAAAUUAAUUAGUUUAGAACAUCAAUAAAUUUUUGUUACAUUCAAGAUAAGGACAAUUACACUUAGAUCACUCUUAUUUAGUUGAAUUAUAGGUAAUAAAAUUAGUUUUAACAAAAUAUGAUUCUUAACCCUCGUAAUUAAAGGCUCGUGUUAUUUGGUUUAGUUAUAACACCAUGCAACAGGUCGUCUUGGUGGGUUCAAAUUAAUAUACGAUCAUUCUCAAUUUUUAAUAGUUUGUAAUUAAAAAGCCCUACAUCACAAUUAGAAUUUGCAAACAUGCCAAAGUGAGUUAAGUCAAAACCUAUAAAUUUGAGGUCUACUACAAACUUCUGACAAAUUAAAUUUAAAACGAUUAAUUAAAUGCUAGACAAAAUUUAGCUUAUUAAUGUUCCUGACCACAUGAUGAAUGUACUUAAAACAUCCUAAUUGGUCACUAAUUGAUUAGUUAUUAUUUUUUCAAUUUCUUUUUAUAUAUCUUUGAAACUUCUAGUUUCCUAACAUAUUAUUUGCAAUUCGUGUAAAUUAUUAUUUUUUAAAUAUUAGAGCAACAACCAGUAUAAAAAUGAAAUGCACUCAUUUAAUGGAAAUUUUUCUAGAUGCUUCAAUGGCAGAAUCUCGUUGGUCUAUAACUCUCACGCCUUUGAUUCAAGAUUCAAUUUCAAACCAACGCCGAACAAACAGUAUAAACCUUAAUAAGUCUGUGGCUGUAGCCCAACAAACCUACUUCCGGCUCACCGAAUAAUCAUCUCUUACGUCGGAAUUUAAACUUAAACAAAGCUACAUCCCACGUGUCCCCAACUUUCUUCAUAUUUCCAUAAAACCCCUACCAGAUCCAGAUAAUUACCUUCACUCUUCUCGUAUAAAUAGAGAAGAUGAUGAUUCCUACAAAGCCACGUAAGUCAAGCGAACGUUACGGCCAUGGCACAUUGGAAUUGGAUCAAACCACCGGAAUGCAAAGCAAAAUUAACCAAAUAAACUAAAUUAGAUCCAACCAAUUGAAUCGGUUAAUGAAUCAGUUUAGUGUCACUCAAAAAACAAAUAAAUAUAUAAAACCACACAAUUAUCAUAUUAAUGGGGCACUUUUAUCAAACACUAUAGGAUCAACUAGUACAAAAUGAAUUCAUUUGGGAUACGUUUAACGUACUGUGCUAUGGUGUAUUGCAUUAACAUACAUUAUAUUAAGUUAUAAUGUUAUACUUUGAUAUAGUAUAAAUUGUAUUAUAUAAGGUAAUGUUUUAUAUUAAUGUUAAAACUAAAUUAAUAUUAUUUAAAUUUAUUAAUAUUUUAGGUUUUUAUUAUUAAUUUUUUAAAAUUAAGUAUUAAAAAUUAUUUUAUAGUAUAUAAAUGAGUUCAUAAUAUAUUAUUAUUAAAUGAUAAAAUAUUAAAGUACUAUGUUAUAUUAUUAAAAAUUGUUAUAUUAUAAUAUAAUUUAUUUCUAGAUAUUAAUUAUUAUAAUAUAGUAUAAUCAUAUAAUAAUAUAAUAUAAGUUAAUAUUAUAUUGUAAAAAUAUAAUACUGCACAAUUAUUUAAUAUAAUGUAAAUUAAUUUAUAAUAUAAUAUUAAAUUAUAAAUUUAUUAAAUAAAAUUAAAAUACUUUUUACGUAUUUAAAGUAAAAUAAUUAAAAUAAUUUAUGUAAUAGAAGUAUGAUAAUGUAUUAUCAUUUUCUCAUUAAAUAUUUUAGGUUUAUUAAUUUGUUAAAUUAUUAUUUAAAUUAAAAUUAAUUGUUUAAGUGUAAAUAUAAAUAUAAAUGAAUGUUUAAUAAAAUCUACUCCUAUGGAUCUAUUUUAUACACUUUUUAUUCUAUAAAUCACGCAUAUAAUGUAGUUGUAUAAUAGAAACUGGAUAUGUAAUGGAAGCCAAAUUGCGCACGGUUUGUGGGUCUGUCAAAAAAUGAUAAAAAGACCAAUAUGAUAGACUGACUCUGUCCUCUUUAAUAUUUUUCUAGAUGCUUCCGUGGCAUAGUCUCAUUGGUCCAUUUUUCUUCACGGCUUAGAUUCAACUUCAAAAAUCAAUUUGAAGCAAACACAACAAUUCAACAAAUAUAAUAAGCGUCGAUAAGCUUGUAGCUGACUGGCUGUGGCCAAGCAAAAUGUACCUCAUGGUUACCGAAUCAUAUCUUACGUCAGAAUUUUGAACUUAAACAAUGUUCUCAUUCCACGUGUCACUCUCUAACCAAUACCCAAACUUUUAUCAUAUUUCCAAAGAAACCCCUACCAAAUCAAGGUAAUUACCGUCACUCGGCUCAAAUAAAUGGUCUCCUCAAUUCAACUGAUGACGACAUAUCCUCAUAGUCUUUAUUUAGAAGGGGAAAUUAUAAAAAAAAGGGUUAUUUUUAGGAACUUUCCCUGAAGUUUAGUGUAUUAACAGUCUGAUAAAAAGUAUUUAUGUAAUUAUAAGUAUUUCCCUUAACAUUAGUAUAAAAAUACGUAAACGUCAGUAUAAAAAGGUAAACAAGUAAAAGUAAACUUGAAAUUUAAACAAAAUCAAAAUUCAAGCAAAAUAUGUUUCGAUGUCUGUGAAAUAGAGACUUAAACACACCAUUACCCAGUCCAAAGUCAUUAUCCAGUAGAUGAAAGAAAAUGAUUUUUUCACAAAGGGUACUUCUCCUCGUAAACACAGCUUACACUUGAACAAAACCCACCAUCAUUUUCAUCCAUGGAGAAGAAGCGUCUGCAACUCACAAAUAAUUUCUGAAAUCAUUGAUUUAUUUUCAUCUACUGCACAAGAUGACGUCGUGCGGUGGUCCAGAGCUUCCAAGAAGCGAGUAUUGCCAGCAUCUAGCAUCUACCGUGACUGGAAUUAGAUCGCAAGAAGAGGUCAGUCUUCGAAAACACAGCUUGCAUGCUUGAAUCAGUGGCUUACAAGAUAUUGUUGUUAUUUUAUUGAUUAAAAAUAACAAUGGGUCUGUUUUAAUGAAUGAAAAUGGUGUUGGAUGUUGUUUCUCUCUAGGGUUGUUAGUGUUGAGUUGAAAAAAACUAUUGGGUAAUGACUGAUAAGAGCAAUUUCCUAAUGAUUUAAGAGCUGUGUAAGUACUAGAUGUAGUUCAUCAAAGAUGGGUUUCGAUUUGCUUAUAAUCUGAUAAUCUUUUAGAGAACCCACAGUGGUUUAUGUGAUUGUUCAGUUUGGGGUCAUGACACUAAUUGAGUUGUGUGCUAGUUUCGGUUUGUGCAUGCCUUUGGUGUUCUUUUGCCUUAUUGUUGUAAUUCCUUCAAUAAUUUGGCGGUGUUGUUUUUUUUUUUUUUUUUGAGAAGGUAAUUUUGUAUUUGCUAAAUAAUGUGAUUGUAAUCAGAGGUAACUUAAGUAUAUUGUUCUACACACAAUUUUUGCUCCCACGUGAGAUGUUCUCUGUGUUUUUGUCUAAGGCUUUUGUUUGUUAUUCAAACUAGAAAAUAGUGGAUGCAAGACUAUGAAUUUGGCAUGUGAUAAACUUUGAAAUUGCCCUUUUUCUAGAUUAAAAAAUAUUGACUUGCCAUUUUCCUUGUUUGAUUCUAAUUUUCAAACAAGUGUGCCGAAAUCUUAAGUUCGAUUACAUGUUGUUUAUUGUAUUUCUUAUUUCAAAGUCUGUAAUCUAUCUGCGUGCAUCAUUUCAGAAGAAGAAUAAGCAGCUGCAGCAAGUCCAUUAGUUUAGGUGUUCCGAGUAUGACAGAGAUGAUGCUCUAGAUCCAGGUUUGAGGCACCAACAAAACUCGAAGAUAUCAAUUAUAGAGUGGGAUUUUCAGGACCUGAAAUCCAAUUUAAUAUUUACUUGAUCUGGGUUUAAAUAUGGAUGGAGCAAAGAUUGGUAUCAGAAGGGUUUUAUUGUCGGUGCCAACGCCUGUACUAUCAAGUUUACAAUAUGAAAAUCAUUUCUUUUAAUAGCUCUGCUCUUGUGGCAUGUAUUAGUUAUGAAGUAGUUUGUAAUAAAAAAAAAAUCACAAUAAUAAUAUGCAUGCAGGAUGCAGCUAUGCCGCCACACAUUAUUUCAAUUUUUUUAUUAUUUUGCAAUGUCAAUUUUUUUAUUAUUUUGCAAUGUCAAUUUUUUUAUUAAGCAAUUUCAUUUUUUUAUCCAAUGGAUAUUUUCAUCUUCUUAAGUAAUUUGUGAUUUUGGCACGAAUUACCCAUCAGUUCAUCAGCGAAUAAAGAAAUAUUUUGACAGGAAGGGUAUUUUUGGAUUUUCAAUAGUCAACUAACAGUCCACUUAACAGAAUACAAAUGUCAGGGGAGGUCUUUGUAAUUACGUGAAUACUUUCUAUCAGAAUGUUAAUACACCAAACUUCAGAGGAGGUCCUUAAAAAUAACCCUAUAAAAAAAUCCCCUCGUUCUCUAAAAAUAUGAGGUUUUCUCAAGAAUAGCUAAACCUCCAUCACAAUCCUGAAAAAUCUCAAUUUAACCUCUCUAGGGUUUCGAUUGUCGGGGAUUCGCUUCAAAAUUUUGUAUUAUUUUAGUGGAUUUUGCUUAUCUCGUAUCCUUCAAUUGUUAGUUCAGUUCUGAUAAUAAUUUGGAAUUCAGUUUGAAGGGUUAAGCGCAAUUUCGAAAUUUUUUAUACAAUUUAAAUUAAAAUUGAUAGAACAAUUGGGCGGUUAAUAAUUAAUUGAUGGCUAGUGACACUACAACGGCGCCCGCGCCCGCAGCUCCGGAAAAAGCGGAGGCGGUGGAGGAGUAUGAUAGCAAUCCAGAUGAAGUGAAACGCUGUCUUGUGACGCACAGAAGGGAAGCCAGCGAUGACGAGGACGUGGUGGAGGAGUACGAGAGCGAUCCAGAUGAAGUGAAACACUCUCUCGUGAUGCGCAGAAUGGAAGCAAGCGAUGAUAAGGAGAAGGAGGAUAAAGAAUUCGAGCGUUGAAUGAACCGUAGGGUCCACAUUCAUUCUUACGAUGAAUCUGAUGGCCAAGGUGGUGUCCAGCUGAGUAUGAUGAUGAUCACCUCUCUCGACCAGUUCAGGUUCAAGGGAAGGGUGCUCGAGGGGUACUUGUCUUGUUUAUCAUUUUUGUUUAAUUUUCAUAAAUUCGACGACCCACAAUUCAAUUAUGAGUGAAGAGUUUGUUAAAAAACUGUGGUCUUCCAUUUACUAUAACUAAGUCCGUGUGAUGUAAUUAUUUUUCUGUCACUUAAAUGUCUUGAAAAUUAUGAAUACAUUGUAGGAUUUAGAAGGAUUCUAAAGUUUUAAUGCAUAUGGGUUUUUUAUGUCCAUCCACUUAUGCGUAUGCUGCAUUUUAUGAUUAUCGUAGUUGGUAGAUUGACAAAUGGACCUUAAUUACAAGUCAAAUAACCUAAAUACUUAUCGGCCAAAGGAAGCCAUUUAUAGUAAUUUCUAGUGAAGCAAAGUAAAAUGAUUCAUACUGGCAAAGAAAAUUGGAAAAGAAAAGGAGGAUUACUGAUCCACACAGUGUCGUUUACUAAAGGUACGUUGAUCUUACACUUAAUUUAUUAUAUAUCCAUUUAUAAUGUUCAAAAUGAUAAUGUACUAUUUCUUAAAUUAGGCUUUCAAAACAUCAUUUUGAUAAUGCAUAGUUGUGAUGUGUCUCUAAAUUCAGUAAUACAAGUUCUUUCCUGUUACUAAUGGAUGAAGUGACUUGAAAUAGUUUAAUAUUUAUUUGCAGUAAAAAAGUUGAAAAAGGAACUAACAAUUUACAUGCGUUUUGCUGAAAAUUUAGUUAGUUUCAUUUGAAACUUGCAUGGGCAUUAAAUGCUGGCAUAAUCUCUUUGACUUCUCUUGCAUUUGAAUGAAUGGAUCAGUGUUAAUGCAGGCAAAGAUUUUCUGGACUUUCAUGGAUGCACAAUAAAUGCUACGUCAAAGGCCUGGUAAGAUGUCAGCAAGCUGGUCGAAGAUAUCAACCUGAUUUGGUGGCUGCAAGAUUUGUUCAUCCAGGAUCGUUUUCUUUGACAAUGAGAAAGCCCCAAUGUCUAUAAAUUGAGAACUCACUGAAUUGUAGAGAGAGAGAGGAAAGUGAAUAACGGGAGAGCCAGUGAAAAGAGAGUGUGGGAAGAUUUGGGUGUAAUUGGGGUUUGGGUGUGAGAUAAAAUAAUCAGAGAGUGGUUGUAAUAAUUUUUUAUAUAGUGAAAUUUUUUUGUCUCGUUAUUUUUUGCAGUGGUGGUUUUUUACUCUAAUAAAAGAGUCUUCCAAGUAAAUUUUGUGUGUUAUGAUUGGGAUAUUCACCAUUUUAGUUUUCUAUUUAUUAUUUGUUUUACAUAUUGCUAGUAAAAAUCUGGGGCGGGAACCGAAAAUUCCCAACAAUUAUUAAUUAUUUUAAACUCUGUUCUGAACAGUGCAUGAAGGAUCAUAUUCACUUCACUUCACUUCACUUGAUUUCAUCUUGUCCCUCUCCUUUAUAAAAGUUGCAUAUAUUGGAGUAUCAAGUUCAUCACAAGGAUCAUAUUCUGGCUAACGAAGGAGCACAGUUCAUUGGCUGCACUCAUGUGUAGCAAAGUAUUUGGAUUCAAGACUGUUAGAAGGUCGUUACAGACGCAAGACUGCUGCUGUGUAACGGUAUGCCAUGCUGGCAAGUGGGGCAGUGCGCUAUAACAGAUUGCGGAGGUAGCACCAAAUAUUGUGAACUAGUAUUCGUAAUUAGUGUAGAGUGUUCUGAUUUAUUCAUUUGUGCUUAAAACCUACAUGUAUUGUACGUUUCUAUCGGUAAUUUGUUCUGAUUUUUUUUUGGGGCCAAUUGCAGUUUUGAUAACAACUAAAAUCUGUGUGGUCCGGUUACCACAAAGCCUAUAAUGAUUGCAAUUACUGUAUGAUCAUUUCCCCAACUAUUAUUUGAAUAAUUGGUCCAGUUACCACAAAGCCUUGCCCCAGAUCCCUGCCAUUUUCUCCUCCACCUCCAUUUGGGGAAAUUACUACUUACUUUUUGCAAGUUUUUUGUGAAAUAUUUAUUUUGAGAAGAAAACCAACAAUACAUUUUAUGAUUUGGGCUGUUUCAAAGAUCUUCGCUUGAUGUCUCUGCUACUGGUUUUCAGCAGAGUGCCCAAAAAUAGUUUUCAGCAGUACAAAAAGUAUAUAUUUUGUACCUUCCAUACAUUUUGCUUUGUUAAUGUUAUUAUUUGAUAACAUGUUUGUCGAGUUGCACAGUGUAUAAAUGCUAUACAAAUACACUCCUUUCAUUUUAUACAACUUUGAUUGAUCAAGUUGUAUCUCUUUGAUAAUAUGUUCUAUCUCCUUUCAUUUUAAACUUCAAUUGAGUUGCUAUCUAUUUAACUUUGGCAAGUCAGAGAGAGGGAUGGGACUGUCCAAUUAAAAUUAAGUUCCAAGUGCCAAUCCCACCAUUGUCGUCUCUUGUUUGCCAAAUUCAAAUUUGAAAAUCUCACCAAGUCAGUAUGGUGAUGUUGUGGGAUUGUCUGGCCUAGGUUUUUAGCCUCAUGAACUCCUUUAUUAGAAAAAGUCUUAAGUGUUCUUACUCAAUGGUAGAAUCAUAAUUUUACUUCAAUGGAAGCCAUAAUGAUUAAAAUAUACUCUUUUGAUUAAUUACUUAUUUGAUGUUGCUCUCUCUACCUUCAUCUCCUUCUUUAUGAAAAAUUUAUUGUAAUACAUGGAAGUAUAUAUUGCAUUGAAUAAAAUGAAAUUGUUCAAAAAUUAACAAAUUCAGCUUUAUUAUAAUCUAAAACAAAGUAAAUAAAAUAAUACCCAUCAUGUAAAAAUAAAAAAAUAAAAAUUUUUGUACCACUUUGAAUCUAUUUUAAAUUUUUUUGGUCAAAUCUCAGAAGCACAAACUUUGAACAAUAAUAAUAGGUAAAAACUAAUAAUCUUAUAAUAAAAAGUAAGAAAAAAAUAAAGUUGAUUUAGCAUGUAAGAAUAAAAAAAGAAAAAUAGAAAGAGAGAGAAAUUAGCUUAGGCUUUAACUAUUGUUAUAGUAGAGAAGUAAUUUUAUGACCUUUUAGAAAUGAGUGAAUUAAAAUAGUAAGUUAUAAUUUGAUAACUAUCUUAAUUAAAAAAGUGGGUGUUGAAAUAAAAUUAAUGGAUUCAAAUAGCCCACCCAAAAUCCAAAAUUGCAUACCAAUUAUUUUCUAAUUUACAUAAAGUUCUUCUAUUUUUUUUUUAUAACAUUUGAUUCUCAAUUGGUCUAAUGGAGAAACAACCAGCAAAAAAAUAAAAAAUAAAAAAUAAAAAAUAAAAUGAAUGCAAUUAAACCGAAAUUCGUAAAAGAGCCGUAUGACAUUUAUGUGCAAGCAAAAUUGCAUUCUGUUUAUGGGAUCCUGGAAAAAAUAAAAGAAAGAAAACAGAGUAAGACGCUUUCGCUGUGGGCUUUAAUAUUUUUCUAGAUGCUUCCAUGGCAGAUUCUCGUUGGUUGAUUUUUCUUUACGCCUUAGAUUCUAUGAUUCAAUUUCAAUCAAAUACGACAAACAAAAGAAGCUUUUAAGCCUGCAGCUGAAAUAGAUGGUACUUUAAUUUUCAGCUGAACAUAUAUAUGGUAAGAUUAUUAUUAUUGAGCUUGAUGAGGCUAUAGAAAAUUCAAUAUCGAGAUCGGAUAAGGGUCCAAUAAAUUAUAAAAAUAAAGCAGCUCAAAGCCCAUAUGAUCAUGGGCCAGGCCACUACUUGCUCAUGCUUUGAAUCAAAAUUAGUGACGUUGGAAGCUGAAAGGGGCAAAUGAUGAAAUGGGGUUCAUCAUAUAGUAUGCCCAACGGGGUAAGAUCAUCAUUUAAUUGCCUCCUCCUCUUGUCGAUAGAUAUUUGCCUAAAUUUUUCUAUUUAAAAAAUAUUAUAUUGGUUAGUAUAAUUAGAAGUUUUACAAAAUAUAAGUAUAAUUUUUAAAAAAAAUUAUAUUUGUUAAUCUAAAUUUACAUCCAAGAUCACGACAAUUACACUUAGAUCACUCUUAUUUAGUUGAAUUAUAUAUGUAAUAAUGUUGGCUUAACAAAAUAUGAUUCUUGAUCGUUGUAAUUACGAGCUGGUAUUCUUUGGUUUUAGUAGUAGGGCUUAUAACGUUGUGCAACAGUUCUUGGUGGGUUCGAAUUAUUAUACGAUCAUUCUUAGUUCUUUACGAUACGUAAUUAAAAAUUCUUAUAUCACAAUUAGAACUUACAAACAAGUCAAAGUGAGUUAAAUCAAACGUAUAAAUUCGAGGUCUAUUACAAACUUCUAAAAAAGAUUUUCUUUGUUCUUUUUUCUUUCACUUUCUCUUCCAUUUUGCCAAUCCCCAAACACCGCCAAUCCUUGAUUUUUUAAGUAUUAGCUGUCAAUUUCUACAAACAUAGAACUGCUGUUUGUUUGUCUAAUUACUUUCAAGAAACAAAACUGUUUGUCAUGUGGUCUCUUCGUUUAUUGGCUUGUGAGCAAAUAAGAUAUUGGGCCGAUGGGCUUAACGUGACAAGUUCUUGAAUUGAAUGGCUUCUCUUUUUUUCAUAAAUCUUUGCUUAAUUUUUUUUGUUCUCUCAACCUUUUUUGGCCUUUCGCGCUAAAAUUCUUUUUUUGAUACAUUAUGCAAAAAUUAUGAUGAAAAUGAGUUACUUUAGAACAUCAAUAAAUUUUUAUUACAUCUAUAAUAAGACAACUAUAGUGAGAUUAUUCUUAUUUAGUUGAAUUAUAUGUAAUAAAAUUAGUUUAACAAAAUCUAACUCGUUAGUAUUCCAUAUCACAUGAUUAACGUAUUUAAAAAAUCUUAGUUGUUCCGUCGCUUGUUUUACAAUUCUUUUAUAUAUCUUUGAAACUUUCUGCUUUCUGACACAUCAUAUUGUUCUCAAUUCGUCAAAAUUAUUUGUUUCUUCAAACACUGCAGCAACAAUCGGUAUAAAAAAGAAUGAACUCAUUUAAUGGGAAUUUUUCUCAUUGGUCUAUUUCUCUUCGCACCUUAGGUUCCUCUAACAAACUUAAAAGAUGUUCCCCAUCCCACGUGUCUCCAAAUCUUCGUAUUUCCAAACAAACCUCUGCCAAAUAGAGAAGAGGAUGGCUUUUAUUGCAAACUGUAUGAGCGUUAUGGCCAUGCAUGGGACAUUGGAUCCAAAUGAAACCAAUGGAUUGUAAAGCAAAAUUACCGAUUAAAAAUUCAAACAAUUGAAUCGGUUUGGUGUCACUUAAAAAAAUAAAUAAUAUAUAAAACAACACAAUUAUCAUAUUAAUGAGCCACUGUUAAAUUCAUUCAGUCAGUAUUUUUCUUUUCCCAUUUUCAAUGAAUGCUUAAUAUGGAAAACAAUAUGUCCCAUUGAGCACUGUUUAAAUCAUUCCCUAGUUUGUUUAACACGCAAAGAAUAUUCUUAUUCAGCUCGGCAGCCAAUCCGUUAAAAUUUAUUAAAAUUCAUUUAAGUGAUGACUGUGAUAUGACUCGAUCAAUCGUUUAAUUUGUAUAAUUUAUAAAAAUUUGAGCUUCAAGUAAUGUAGAUAGAAUGGUUAAUUAUUUUAAUAUUAAGAUAAAUUGAUAUAUGUCAUUAUAUUAUGAGUGGAUGAAAUAUCCAAUAGAAAAAAAAAUGUUUAUAUUCGUCAUUUUUAGUGGGAAUCUAUUUAGUGUAACUUAUCCAUAAAAAUGGUUGACGACUUAUCUUGGUUCUCAUUUUGUUUAAUUUUCAUAAAUUUGACUAAUGAUUAAUUGUGAGUGAGUGGGGCUAAUUAUCCGUGGGGCGGCAUCAGUUGCUGCUUGAGUGGAGCUGCGCUUUAUCCAUAAAUCUGGUCUUCCAUUUAUUUUGUAGGAUUUAAAAGAUUAAAAAACUUUAAUACAUAUAAUUUUAUGUUCGAAACUAAAUACUGGUAGCAUUGCUGCUUCUAUAAAUAACUCAUUUGUGCUUCCAACAAUAAUUCACGUUUUUGUUUCUCUUCAUAAAGAUUUUCUUUUUUUUUCUUUUUUCCAUUCACUUUUUCUUCCAUUUUCCCGACUCCCAAACACCACUAAUCCUUGAUUUUCUAGAGUAUUAACUGUCCGUUUCUACGAACAUAGACCUACAGUUUGUCUAAAUACUAUCAAGAAACAACGUACUCUGUCGCGGGAUCUCUUCGUUUAUUGACUUUUGACUUGUGAACGGGGCUAAUUAAAGGGCGUUCCUUUCUUCAAGAAAGAAUGCAAAGAAAGUACUAUCCAUGAGACACGUUAAAAAUUAUUUUACAUAAAAAAUGAUAAUAAUCAUAAUAAUCGGUUAAGGAUCGACAAAAAUGUUAUAACCUAUAAAGCAUGGAUAAUUAAUUAAUGGGAAUGCACCUCUCAUCUUUACCAUUCUCUUUGUCAUUUUCAUAAUUCAGCUGUUUAUUAAUAAAGUGAAUAAAUUUAUCUUUUAAUAAUAUGUUUCUUGGCUGUUUUUUUGUGUAUUUUUGUGUACAAUUUUGUGUGCAAAUAGCAUUAUUCAUUAGUAAUUAGUUUGGAGUAGCUCAUUUUGAGCUUAGGACCUGUAACUAGUAUUUUAUGUUUCUGUUAAUCUUUAAUAAAGAUUUUCUCUAUUUUUUUUCCCUUUCACUUUCUCUUCCAUUUUCCCCGACUCCCAAACACCACCAAUCCUUGAUUUUCCAGAGUAUUAGCUCUCUAUUUCGACAAACGCAUAACUGUUGUUUGUCUAACUACUUUCAAGAAAUAACGUAGUCUGUGGUUUAUUGACUUGCGAACGGGGCUAAUUAGUCACGGUCCGAUUGUCUGACUUCUCCAUUGACUCGGUCAAUUCACGACCUUGACCUGUACAGUUGAUACAAACGGACUUCUCCAUUUGAGGUGUACAAAACUUUCUUGAGUCAUUUUGUUUGGUGAUGAUGAAUUGGAUGUCAGUUCAUGAGUUUCAUGAUGAAGAGGACCAAAAACAUUAUUUUAUUAUUUAAAGAAGACUAACAAUUAUUUCGAUGGUCAUUUUAUUUUUUAUUUUUAAAUAUCCAAGGUGCUUGACUUCUUUACACAGAAUUACAAAGCAAAAUAAUUAAGAAACUAAAUACUCGUCAUCCAAGUGAGAAGAGAUUGGGUUGUUGAUACAUUAAAUAAAAGAAAAAUCAAUUAAAAGCACAACAAUUCAAUAAUUUCAUUCUCAAUCAUAUAAAAAAUAAAAUUUACUGUACAUUGUUGUUCGGUUCUGUAAAAAAAAAAAAUUAUUAGGGAUUUGCAGUUUUUUUUAGUGUAAUUUUCGUUAAUUACAGUUUGGUCUGAAGGGUUAAGCACAUGGAUCAUAAUCAUAUUAUGGCCUAAGGAAGGAGCACAGUUCAUUGGCUGAACUCAGUUUACAGAAUAUUUUGGGAUUCAAGACUUCAGGUUGUUAAAAAUGCAACUUGCAAGGCUGUUGCUGCGUAACUGUAUGCAAUGCUGGCAAGUGUGCUAUAACAGAUUGUUGAGAUAGCACCAAAGAUUGUAAACUAAUUAGUACUGGAAAAUCCUAUUUGCACAAACAAUUGCACAAAAUAAAUAGAAUGAGAAUACUUAUGCAAAAAAAAUAAGAUUAAUAAAGUGAAUAAAUUUAUCUUUUAAUAAAAUAUUUCUAGUCUUUUAGUGUUUUCGUGUAUUUUUGUGUACGUGCAAAUAACAUUACUCAUGAGUAAUUAUGUUUUACGUUUCUAUUAUUUUCUAAUAAAGAUUUUAUCUGUUUUUGUUUUUUUCCCCCCUUUGAACGGGGCUAAUGUUGGUCUAACUGCUUUCAUGAAACAACGUACUCUGCGGUUAAAAUUAAUUGAUCAUUUUAUUUGGUGAUAAUGAAUUGGUUGUCAAGUCAUGAGUUUGAUGAUGCACAGGACGAAAAACGUUAUUUUAUUAUUUAAAAUAUGACUACCAAUUAUGUUGAUGGUCAUUUUAUUAUUUAAAAUAUGCAAAUGGAAUCUUACCGAACUAUAGUGCUUGACUUCUUCAUACAGUGCUUGACUUCUUUGUACAGAAUUAUAAAGUGAAAGAAAUUACGAAAUUAAAUACUUUUCAUGCGAGUGGGGGAGAAAUUCUGUAUAUUUAUGAAAUAACUAUUGAUUUCACUUCGGUAAUUACUUUUUAAAAGUAACGUAAACAUUUUUAUUUUAUUUGCAUUCGAGCUUUCUUUCUUUUUCGCUGGCCUUUACUCUUGACCGUAUUUUCAUGGGGCAUAUUCAAUCUGAAUCCUCUGCAAGUUUGUGGCAGUUUGGUUAGUUACGAACUUUUGUAGAAUUGCAUGAAGAUGACGCUUUUAUAGACAUUUUUUCUUUUUUCUUUUUUUCUUCAGUGAACAUAUUAAAAAUUUAGUUUUUUGUCAUCAUGACUAGAACAGUAAAAUGAAAAUAGUCCUCAUUUCGACGAUUGACAAAAAUGUUGUACUCAUACCGAUUAAUGGGACACUGAUUUCGUCUUCUUAAAAAAUUAUUAUUGCAGUGAGGUAAUUGGAUCGAAGAUGGACGAUUUCCAUAUUUGCCUAACCUAAGUGAUAAGAAUUUUCAUAUGGGACAUAAUCUGAUUUGUUUUGCUUGACUGUAUUCCAAGAGACAGUCAUAUCUACUAAAUGAAACAAAUCUUGCUUUUCUAGAGAAAUAAUGCAAUAUGCAAUUAUGCAUGAAGGUGCGCAUCCAUGUGAGAAAGUUGACGAAAGCUUCUUUUUCAGUAUUGUUGGAAUAAUGGUAUCGAUUGGAAUUGUAAGGAAAGAGGUCUUCGAGUCGUGGACAGCUGAACCGAAGAGAGCAGAUGAAUGCCCUUUGCAGAAGCAGGAAAUAAGCUGCCUAAAAGUAAGCAUUAGAUGAAUGCCCGAUCGAACACCACUAAUUCCAACAAUAUAUCAAAAAAAAUCUUUGAGUUUAAGGAAUUAAUUUUUUAAAUAUUUGAUAUAUGUCAUGUUCUGACUUAGUACAAGAAGAAAAUUAUAGAAUUUUUUUUUAAAUUAAUGGAAUUAUUUUACGAUAAAACAAUCACAAUCACAAUUAAAAAUAUUCUUUAAAAUUUCACUAUUUCUACUGUUAUUCUUUAAACUCUUUCUGAACAGAGCAUGAAGAGUCACUUAUCUAAAUAUGUUUUUUUUGUGCUUUCACUUCACUUGAUUCAUCUUAUCCCUCUUUUAUAGAACCUGCAACUCGUAUUUUACGUUUCUGUUACUUUCUCUUCCAUUUUCCCAACUCCCAAACACCAUCAAUCCUUGAUGUUACAGAGUAUAUUAAUUAAUUAAUGGGCCACUAAUUCUUCUUCUUAAAAGAAAAUUUUUGUAGGGAAAUUGGAAAAAAGGCUAAUUCAAUUUAAUUUUGAUAGGUGCGACAGAAGGAUAGGACCGUCCAAUUAAAUUGCAAGUGGGCAUUCCCACCAUUCGUGUCUCAUGCUUGUCAUAUUUAAAUUUAAAAAUCACACCAUGUCAGUAUGGUGAUGAUGUGGAAUUGUUUCACCGAAAUUUUUAUUUCGAUGGUGGCCAUAAUAAUUAGACUACUGAUUAAGUUGGUUGUGACAUAAAAUCAACGUUGUAUAAUUUUUUGGAUAUUAUCUCAAUUUUACUUCUGUAGGUUUGUUUUUUUGUAUAUUAUCUCAAUUUUUAAAAAAAUGUAAUUGCAAUUAUCAAACACGACUAAUCCCAACAAUUUAUCCAAAAAAAUUUUAUGAUAGAAUUGGCUAAUUUUUUUAAUCGACUUUCUGGAUAAAUGAUAAUUUUUUUGAUAGAAAUGUUACUUAAGUAUUACAGGAAGAAAAUUAUAGAAUAAUUUUUUGAAUUAAUAGUAUUACUUUACGAUAACACUAUCACAAUCUAAUUUUAAAAAAAUAAAGUUAUUCUUUAAAUUUCGCAUUACUAUUCCUACUUUUCUUGUUAUACUACUUAAUGGCACUGGUGAAGCCUCGAAUUAUCAAACAAAAAAGCAAAAAUAGUUCAAUAUCUGCUGUCCCACUGAGCAUUGUUAAAUUCAUACCAUAACAUGAGUACUUAUAUUAAAAAAAACAAUCGGUCUCAUUGCGUGCUCUUUCAUUGACAUAGGCAAUUUGCUGUCAACUUGUGGCACUUUUAUGAAUUUUCAAGACGGGUGAAUUUUUCAAAUUUAAAAGAAAAAAAUACAGAAAUGUAAUUUCAAUUUAUCCAAAAAUUUGAGUUUCAAGGAAUACAACAUUUAUUAUAUGUCAUGUUAAUAUAGAGAAGAAAAUUUUAAAAACUUCUUUUUGGAUGAAUAAAAGUAUUUUCUGAUAAAUAUUUCACAAUCAAAUUUAAAAAAUUUCACUCCUCUUGGUACAUAAUUUAAGAAUUUAAGAUUAUAAAUUAAUCUUUUUAAUCAAAGUAAUAAUCUCUCCUCGGUCUGCAAAUGCUAAAAUUUAAUAUUAUAUCCAUUGACAAUAUUUGCUCCAAAUUCACGAAAAUAAAAUUUCUAACAAAAUUAUGGAAUUCGUUACUAGAAAUUUGUAUAAAAGUUGUGAGAAUAGAAGGUUUGAUCAUAGGAAAUUAAUAUAUCCCUAUCCGAUGCAAAAAUGAUUGUAAAGAAAAACAAAAGUCAUGGGCUUAUUUAGAAAAAAAGAAAAAAUUACAUUCCAUUUUCCAGUUAUUAAAGUAAUUCUAAAAUCGCUAGGAUCACAAAGGAUAAGUUUUGGUUGACUGAGGUCAGCCUUAACGCAUGCCGGUCUUUUUCUCCUCUACAUUCUUAGAAAUUUUGGUUUCACUAUAAAUACUCGGUAUAUAGCAAACUUAUAAGUGUUCUUGCAUUACCAAUCCAACUAAGCACACGCUUACAAUAUAAAUACUCUCAUCUCAUGGAAAGAGCUCAUUCUCUCAUGAUGAUGAGCAGAUUUCUCUUACUCCAUUGUUUGAUUCUUAUUUCCUUAUUUAUCGCGGCAGCAACAGCCAACACAAGUUCUACUAUCACGGACCAAGAUGCUCUGUUGGCCCUGAAAGCUCACAUAACUCAUGAUCCGACCAAUUUCUUGGCCAAGAAUUGGAACACAAGUACUCCUGUCUGUAAUUGGACAGGCGUCGCUUGUGAAGUCCAUAGCCAGAGAGUCACAGUCUUGAAUAUUUCAAGCUUAAAUCUCACAGGCACCAUCCCUUCUCAACUUGGGAAUCUUUCUUCUCUGCAAUCACUCAAUCUCAGUUUUAACCGACUUUUUGGUUCCAUUCCCUCCGCCAUCUUCACCACAUAUACACUGAAAUAUGUUUGUCUCCGUGGAAAUCAGCUCUCCGGCACUUUCCCUUCUUUCAUCUCCAACAAGUCUUCUUUACAACAUCUUGAUCUUAGUAGCAAUGCACUGUCUGGUGAAAUUCGUGCAAAUAUUUGCAGUAAUCUUCCUUUUCUGGAGUACCUUGCUUUCUUCAAAAACAUGUUGCAUGGCGGCAUACCGUCCACGCUAUCAAAUUGCACAUAUCUGCGAACGUUAGAUUUUUCAUACAAUGAUUUCUCGGAGGCCAUACCUAAAGACAUCGGCAAUUUGACCAACCUUAAGGAAUUAUAUCUUGGCCGUAACAGACUCCAAGGUGCGAGUAAUCACGGAGUUUAAUUAUGAAAAUUGUUCCAUAAGUUGUAUUAUGAAUAAUGUUCCAUAAGAUAAUUUGCACGCGUUGAUUAAUUUGCAGGAGAAAUUCCUCGAGAAUUUGGCAAUCUUCCCGAAUUGGAGCUGAUGUCGUUAGCAGCAAACAAUCUCCAAGGUAUGAUUAGAAACUUUUUGCAAUUUUUUUCUAGCCUCUGCUUGCUUCUGUAUUCAUUCGUUUGUUCAUUAAUUAUGCUAUGAUUUAUUGUUUUUCUUUCAGAUGGAGAUAAAGCUCCAUGUCUCUCCUCACUCAUUUCAUUUCUUAAUUUAUGCAGAUAAAAAAAAAAUUGUUUUGUAAUUUUCUUUUGUCAUAUUGCCACUUCCGUUUUGAAGCUCCCAAUUAAGUCGAUGAAAAUGAAUGAUGUUUCAUUCUUAUUCUUGUCAGCCUAAUUCUUAUAUAAUUGAAGAGUAAAUUGUUAUUAUGAUAUUCGUCAGCCAAUAAAUUCUUUUUUUUUUCCCCCCAAAUAUGAGUGAUCAAAUUGUUUGCGCAUAUAUAUAUGUACUUAAUUUGCAGGAGGUAUUCCACACGAAUUGGGGAAUCUUGCAAAAUUGGAGAUCUUAGAGCUGUUCGAGAAUAACUUGACCGGUAACUUUCUUUACGAUAUAUAUAUGAGACAUCUUCCGCUUCUUAAUUAAAAGAUUUCAAGUCUCUCAUUAUAAAAUAUAAAUUCUCAUAUGAGGAUGUGUAGUUAUCACUAUCUAACAUUAUUCCGUUUUUUAUUAGAAAUUAGUUUGUGUUAACUCAAAAUUCCAUAGCAUUUAAAAAAAAAUUAAAAACACGUAGAAUAAAUCGUCAAUCUUUCUUCUUUACUGAAUUUGGAUUUCUCAAAAAUUAUCUGCACAAGUAUGGUUCACUAAUGAUAUACAUGUGUGACAACUUCAUAAAAUAUUUCACUAAUUAUCUUUAAAUAAUUGGAGAUACCAUCAGUGAUACAUAAUUUCCUAACAAGCACCAUACCAAAAGAAAUCAACAAUUUUUUUAAUAUUAAAGAGUUACAUCUUCACUGCAAUUAUGGCAUAAUUUUUCAUCUAAAAAAAUUUUUAGUCAUCAAUCGCAUAAUAUUUUAUCUUAACGGUUGAUGUUCAAUCUUGGAAUUUAUAAUAUCUUGAAGGUUAGUAGCUAUUAAAAUUAGAAAUUGUUUAUUUGCUAAAAAGUUAACUUAGUGUUUAAGCUUUUCAAUUGAAAAUUUUGAAACAAAUGUUGAGAACUGGUCCUCCUUAGAAUUUCAGCGGAUAAAUAUGAAAAUAGACUUGAAAAAAAAUUAUUUUACUGAAAUAAUAGUUAAAAAGAGAGGAGAAGUACAGUACUCAUGACUUGGGCUUGCUGUGUCCUUAUUUUAUCUGACUAUUGGUACUAAUAAUAUUUAUAAUUACUUAGUAAAAAUAUAAAUUUAAUACUUUGUUAACAUUUUAUCUACGUAUAAUAAUUAAACUGAAACUUGUAUUUAAAACAUUUGAGUUACGUAUACUCAUUUCAUGACAUAAAAGUGUAUAUUUAUACUAAUUUACCAUUAUCAAUAAAAUGCUUUGAGACAAAUAAUCUAAUUUAUAUUAUUAUAUUUAAAAUACUUGCUUUUAUUAUAUUUUGAAAAAAAAUUAUUUGCAAUUAUUUUAAACCUUUGGAUUCAAUUUUUCUUAGUUAUAAAUGUAAAAUAGUCAAAAACAUAUUUGUAUGAUCAUUUUUCAAUGUAUAAAUUUUCUUGGUUAGUAGGAAAAUUAGAAAUUGUUGAUUUACUCAUAAAUAAAUUUAGUCUUUAGCAUUUCAAUUUUGGAAAACUUGAACUAAUUGUUGAUAACUUCGAAUCGGUCGAGCUUCGCUUCGCUUCCUUGUCCCACGGGCCUAUUGAAAGUUCUAUUUGAAUUGAGCUUCUUUUCAGCGUCACCACAAUUUAUUCACAAAUGAGUUGAUUAGAGUCGAAGUUGCCUGAGAGUCUAAGACCAUGUUAGUAGGAUAAAUUUGAAAAGAAAUUAUUUUACUGAAUUAAUUUAUUUUAUCUUGCUGUAAUUGAAAUACUACUCUUUUUUUUUGGGCUAUCACUGGGGCUUGAUUUACUUUAAGAGUCGCAGCCACCGACUUAGGCUUUUUUACUUCUCACCACACAAUUUGAUCUUUUAAUUCGUUUUAACCACAUAAUCUAUCUAUCUCUUACUUAAAUCGAAUACAUGUUUUACCUACUAAUUUUUACAAAUAUUAAUCAAAUAUAUUUUAUUACAUUUCUCUCGUAACUGCUCUAAAUGUGCACUAUUAAUACUUAACCCUCCCUUUUAAUUUACCGUGCAAUCUAUCUACACUUAAAUCACAUAUAUAUUUUACCUAUAGUUUACCCAAAAAAAAAAUAUAAAAAUAAAAAUAAAAGAAUAUGUGCAGCAAUUUGUAUAUAACUAACAAAGCAUUGAUGGUGUGUAGCCUUUCAAUACUUCAUGAGUGGCUUUUCUUGUGUGUUAGUACUUGUAAUAAUUGUGUAGUGUAUAAAUGACCUUUUAUUACGAAAUUGCGUCUGUUUUUUGAAUUAUUUAUUAUUUGAAAAAUAAUCUAAAUAUAAUUCUAUUAAAAUACAGGGAAGAUACCACUUAAAAUCGGCAAUCUCCGAAAUCUGGAGAAGUUGGACAUUGGUGAUAAUAAAUUAGUUGGUAUUGCCCCAAUCGCAAUCUUCAAUGUGUCAACACUCAAAAUUCUUGGCCUUCAGGACAAUUCUCUCUCGGGAUGUCUUUCGUCCAUUGGAUACGCCCGACUUCCAAAUCUUGAAAUCCUUUCUUUAUGGGGUAAUAAUUUCAGUGGCACAAUUCCUCGUUUCAUCUUUAAUGCUUCUAAGCUCUCUAUACUAGAUUUGGAAGGUAACUCAUUCUCCGGUUUUAUUCCCAACACAUUUGGCAACUUAAGAAACCUUAGUUGGCUGGUUUUAUCUGAUAAUUAUUUGACAUCUUCAACUCAAGAAUUGAGCUUUCUAUCCUCGUUGUCAAAUUGCAAGUUUUUAAAAUAUUUUGACUUAUCAUAUAAUCCAUUAUAUAGAAUUCUUCCAAGGACGACUGUCGGUAAUCUUUCUCAUUCUUUGGAAGAAUUUAAAAUGUCCAAUUGUAACAUUAGUGGUGGCAUCCCUGAAGAGAUAAGCAACUUGACCAACUUGAGAACCAUUUAUUUAGGGGGCAAUAAAUUGAAUGGAUCAAUUCUGAUUACUCUCAGCAAAUUACAAAAGCUUCAAGAUUUGGGUCUUAAAGAUAACAAAUUAGAAGGAUCAAUCCCAUAUGAUAUUUGUAAUUUGGCUGAACUGUAUAGAUUGGAUUUAGAUGGGAAUAAGCUUUCUGGAUCAAUCCCUGCAUGCUUCAGUAAUCUGACUUCUCUGAGGAUAGUGUCGUUGGGUUCCAAUGAGUUAACUUCUAUUCCCUUAACUUUUUGGAACCUUAAGGAUAUCUUGAACCUCAACUUUUCAUCAAAUUUUUUGACUGGCUCACUCCCAUUAGAGAUUGGAAGUUUGAAGGUUUUGGUUGGAAUUGAUUUAUCGAGGAAUAAUUUUUCAGGCGUUAUCCCAACAGAAAUUGGAGGCCUAAAAAAUCUAGAAUAUCUCUUUUUAGGAUAUAAUAGAUUGCAAGGCUCGAUUCCUAAUUCUUUUGGUGAUUUGAUAAGUUUGAAAUUCUUGAAUUUGUCCAAUAAUAAUCUCUCUGGGGUUAUUCCUGCAUCUUUAGAGAAACUCUCAUAUCUUGAAGAUCUAAAUCUUUCUUUCAACCAGCUAGAAGGAAAAAUUCCUAGAGGAGGAUCUUUUGGAAAUUUCUCAGCUCAAUCAUUUGAGGGAAAUGAAUUAUUAUGUGGUUCACCCAAUUUACAAAUCCCGCCAUGCAAAACUAGCAUCCACCACAAAUCAUGGAAAAAAUCUAUUCUCUUAGGGAUUGUCUUGCCAUUGAGUACUACAUUUAUGAUAGUAGUCAUUUUGUUAAUCCUAAGAUAUCGACAAAGGGGAAAACGACCAUCGAAUGAUGCUAAUGGGCCACUAGUAGCAUCAAGGAGAAUGUUUUCAUACCUAGAACUAUGUCGAGCAACAGAUGGAUUCAGUGAAAACAAUCUAAUCGGCAGAGGAGGGUUUGGCUCUGUUUAUAAGGCAAGCCUUGGGGACGGGAUGGAGGUUGCAGUGAAGGUCUUCACUUCGCAAUGUGGAAGAGCAUUUAAGAGUUUCGAUGUUGAAUGUGAAAUCAUGAAAAGUAUUCGCCAUCGAAACCUUAUCAAAGUUAUUAGCAGUUGUUCAAAUGAAGAGUUUAAAGCAUUGGUAUUAGAAUACAUGCCUCAUGGAAGUUUGGAGAAGUACUUGUAUUCAAGUAACUGCAUUUUGGAUAUUUUUCAAAGAUUGAACAUAAUGAUAGAUGUUGCAUCAGCUUUAGAAUAUCUGCACUUUGGUUACUCAGCUCCAGUAAUUCAUUGUGACUUAAAGCCCAGCAAUGUGUUGUUAGACGAUAAUAUGGUUGCUCAUUUGAGUGAUUUUAGCAUCGCAAAAAUGUUAACUGGAGAAGAUCAAUCUAUGAUUCAAACACAAACACUUGCCACAAUAGGCUAUAUGGCACCAGGUUUGUUCAAUAUGAAUAUUUUAUAUUUCUUGUUAACUUCCUAACAAGUUAUUUAUGUUUCAUGAUCUUUAUUAGAUGAGGAAAUUCUUAUUAAUGAUAUAUCUUACUAUGUAAAUGUUGCAAUUCAUAGAGUAUGGAAGAGAAGGACGAGUAUCCGCAAAUGGAGAUGUUUAUAGCUUUGGGAUUAUGUUAAUGGAAACUUUUACUGGGAAGAAACCCACAGAUGAAAUUUUUAAUGGAGAAAUGACAUUAAAGCAUUGGGUUAAUGAUUGGCUACCCAUUUCCACUAUGGAAGUUGUUGAUGCUAAUUUGCUAAGUCAGGAGGACAUACAUUUUGUUGCAAAAGAGCAAUGUGUGUCAUUUGUCUUCAAUUUGGCUAUGGAGUGCACUAUGGAAUUUCCUAAGCAGAGAAUCAAUGCAAAAGAAAUUGUAACAAAACUCUUAAAAAUUAGAGACUCAUUACUUAGAAAUGUUGGAGGCAGAUGUGUAAGACAAUCAAAUUUAAAUUGAUUCUGGCCCUCCUUCAUUGCUUGCUAUCCUUUUCAGAGACUUGAACGGUUAUCCUUCAUACAACUUUUGUUGAUAUGUUUUGUUACUGCUCUUGCUUUCUUUAAUUUGCAUGCAUGUAUUUUUCGUUCUCCUUUAUGUUUUUGUUGGUUUGAAUGUAGUUUGUUUUUAGGGGUAAGGUUGAUUAUGCCCUCUCCUAAUUACACGUAUCCUUUUUAUGUUUAUUCAAUAAAGCUUCUCUAAUACUAUUGAGGUUCAUCAAAAGAAAAUUUUAAAUUAAUUUUCUUUUCUUUGACAGGUAAUGAAAUUCUAAUCUUCAUAGAGAAUAACUUCAAUAAUAGAGUGUAAGAGUAUUAGUAGUUAUGGUUGUUUUCUGAACCUGGAGUCAAGAGCAAUUUGACAGCAACAAACAAGUCUCUUGUAUUAUAGGCAAAAUUCUUUUCAUUAAUCUUAUUUGUCCACAUGUUCUCCUAUUUUCUCCAUUAAUCUUCGCUCAAGGUUUCAUGCUUCCUCUUUGAUAAAGGAAAAUAUUACUCGCGGAUAUUUCAAAUUUUCAAUUUGACACGAGAGACUGUUUUGCCAGCCAUUUGAUAAAAUGGAUAUGAGUAGAGUUUUCAAUCAUUACCUCCACCAAAAUACUUACAACGCCACUUUUAAUUUUUUUUUAAAAUACAUUCAGUUUAAUUUAUAAAAAAAUAAAUCCAUUUGUUAAAUUUAAUCUUUUUCUCAUAAAUUUCAACCUAAAAAUAUAUUCCUUAUCUAUUUUUAUUAUAAAAUUCAUGCAAGUCCUAAACUAUUAAAUUAUUUUCUUCUUAUUAUAUAGUUUAUAUCUCCAUAACUCUAAACUCCCAUAAUUUUUUAAAAAUAUAUUUUUUAAUUUAAAAUAUAAAUAUAAAAUAGAGAAUGGAGUGGGUUAAAAAAUUGUUAAAAGAAUAAUUCAUUUAAGUAUUUAACUGAGUUUUAAAUUAAAAAUAAGAAAUAAAUUAAUUUAUUUUUUAUUAGUUAAGUAAUUUUCAAUUGAAAAAGAGCAUGAGUAAUAUUAUUGAAAUAUGAUUAAGUUCGUAUGAAUUAAACAUUUUUGUAUAAAUACUAGAGAUAAUUAUAGAGAAAGUACAAUGAAGUGAAAAAACUUAAACAUAAAUACUCUAGUAUAAUUUUACACACGCAAAUUAUGAACCAAUAAUCUUUGGAGCAUCAUAAAAUUGUUUUAACACAAUUAAUUAGUUUGAAAAAUUGCCAAUAAUGUCUAAAGUGGGAUUUAAAGGAUUAUACUACAUAUAUAAGACAUGAUAUCAUUUAAGACGACUUACAGAUUAUGAGAAAUAUAUUUAUCUUACAAACAUUUAAUAUGUUAAUUAGAUUGAGUCUAUGCAAUAAAAUUUUCAAAUUAAAAAAUAAACCCUUUAUUUUCUUUUAAUCAUAAGCGUGAUCUUAAUUAUUAAAGUCAUUCAAUGUCCAUUACUUAUUAUUUUUUUAAUUACCUAAAUGACAUUGAAAACUCUACUCAAUAGUAAUUCAUUCAAAUGUUUUGUUUUAAAGUAAUCGGAAACUGCAAAUGAAACAAAUGCUUGAAAUCACAAACGGCCUAAAAUUAGAUUUUUAUUUUUUCAAUGUUGCAGUGACUUUGAUCUUGAUAUUGAAAAUUUAUUUGUAAUUUAUAUAAAGGCCUCAAUUUCAUUAUAAUUGGUUAGUAAGGCUACGUAGUGAGCAUGGAUAAAUUUUGGGAUUGGAUUAUAUUUUUGGAACUAAAAAAUUAAUUUAAUCAAAUGUUAUAUUUGGCUGUCAGGACUAGCAACUUAGUCUAAAAUUAUUGAAAUUGUUAAUCUUUUAUAUUAUAAUCUUUUCGUUCCCACUUUAAACAUCAUUGGUAACUUAAAUAAUUUUUUUAAAAUUAAAUAUAAAAAUUAAUUUAAUUAAAUAUAAAAAUCAUUUAAAUUAAAUAUUAACAUUAAUUUCAUAAUUUUUUACCUAGAAUUUUAUAUUAUAUUAAAUACUAAAAUUCUAUUCGAUAAUGUAUAAACAUUUAUUUAAUAAAUGUUUAGGUUUUUAGUAUGUUAUAUUAUUAUUUAAAUUAUUUUUUAUUUACAUAUGAACAUAAAUUAAUAUUUACUAAUUUAAAUUUAUUAUAAUUUGUUAAAUAAUAAAAGCUAAAUGAUUAUAUUGAAAAUCUAAAUAGUAUUAUAAUGUAUUAUAGUAUAAAUCUUACCCCCAAUGAGUUUAUUUUAUACACCUUUUAUUAUAUUAACACAUUUAUAAUGCAGUGCAAUGCAUCAAAAAAUUAUAACCAAAUAUGAGUUAGAAUGAAAAUAAUAUUUUAGUACAAUAUAAUACAAUGUAAUGUAAGUUGACAAAUAAAUAUUUAAUGGAAGCAAAAAUUGCAUAUGGUUUGUGGGUCUCUCAAAAGACAACAAAGAAACCAAUACGAUACAUUGAUUAUGUCCUCUUUAAUGGUGUCUUUACUAAAUGAGAAUUAGAAUGAGUUAGAAUUGGAAUGGACUUGAUUUGAAAUAAGGAAUUAUAAUCAAAAUAAGUUGUUUAUUUAAGUUGUAUGAAUCGGAAUCGGAAUAAAUUUUACUCAAAUUGAUGUGUUUAGUUUCUCUUAAAAUUAUAAUAGACUAUUACAUGUUACUAAAAAAUCAUUUGGUAAUUGUUGUCUCUAGUAUUAUUUGUAUAUGUUAUAUUGUUAAUAAUAAUAAGAAUAAAAAUAAUACUAAAAAUGAAAAUAAUAAUAAUAAUAAUAGAGACAAUAAUAAUAAAUUUAAUAAAUCAUUAUUAUUAUUAUUACUAGUAGUGAAGACCGCCCAAUGAAGAUUGGAUAGUGAAGCUGAAGACGAUGAAGAUCCCGGCAACCAAUUUCUGCUUCAAAGAUGAUGUGCCCAAAUGGAGACAACCAGUUAUGAUCAGCCAACUAGAUCCCAAUCUCGAUGUUGUGAUCUCACAUGACCACUGAUAAAGCAAUGUGUGAUGCUGGUGUUAUGAUUUCUUUUUUAUUUAUAUUUUUUAAUUUAUUGGGGUGUAUUUUCAAAAUUUAGUAAUUUUAAUAUGAGCAAAUUGUAUAGUUCAGUGAACAAGAGACUGAUUUCCAACCAUCCUAAAAAUUAAUCUCCCAUUCUCUCUCUCUAAUUUGAUGUGGAUUCCAGUAUUUCGAUUCCAAUUCUUACAUUUAUUUGUCAAGUAAAUGAUGUUAAUGAUUUCAAUUUUUAGUUCGAGAAGUAAACACAUCACAAUAUUUUUUUAGAUGCUUCCAUGGCAUAAUCUCAUUGAUCCAUUUUUCUUCACGCCUUAGAUUCAACUUCAAGAUUCAAGAUUCAAUUUGAAGCAAACACAACUACAAAACAAAUAUAAUUAGCGUUAAUAAGCCUGUGGCUAACUGGCUGUGGCCAUGCAAUUGUAACUCAUAGUGACCGAAUCAUAUCUUAUUAUCUUACGCCAGAAGUUAAACAAUGUUCUCAUUCCACGUGUCACUCUCUGACCAAUCCCCAAACUUUCUUUGUAUUUCCAAAGAAACCCUUACAAAGUCAAGAUAAUUACCUUCACUCUACUCGUAUAAAUACUAUCCUCGAUUCGACUGAUGACGACGUAUCCUUACAGUCUUUAUUUAAAGGGAAAAUUAUAAAAAUUUCUCCUCGUUACCUAAAAAUCUAGGUUUCUCAAGAAUCGCUAAACCUAGAUCCCAAUCCUUGAAAAUCUCAAUUUAACCUCCCUAGCGUUUCGAUUGUCGAGGAUUCGCUUCAAAAUUUAGUAUUUUUUAGUGGAUUUUGCUUGUCUCGUAUCCUUAAAUUGUUGUUCGGUUCUGAAAAUAAUUUGGAUUUUUAGGGAUUUUCAGAUUAUUGGGUUUUGUUGAGUACAAUUUCGUCUAGUUACGGUUUCAGUUUGAAGGGUUAAAUGCAAUUUCGAUUUUUUUUUAUAAAAUUAAAAUUAAAAUUCAUAAAACGAUUGGGCGUUUAAUAAUUAAUUGAUGGCUAGCGAUACUACAACGGCGGCCGUAGCUCCGGAAGAAGCAGAGGCGGUGGAGUAUGGUAGGGUUCCAGAUGACGGGAAACGCUCUCUUGUGAUGCUCAGAAGGGAAGCCACUGAUGAGGAGGAGGCGGGGGAUGAGAGAUAUUCAGAGCUUCCAAUCGCUCAAAGUGUGCAUAUUCCUGCGGGAGAAGCGGAGGCUGUGGAUGAGUAUGAGAGCGAUCCAGAUGAAGUGGCACACUCUCUCGUUCUGCGCAGAAGGGAAACAAGCGAUGAGGAGGAGGAGACAGAAUUUGAGCGUCGAAUUAAUUGAAGGGUCCAAAUUCAUUCUUACGAUGAAUCUGAUGGCCAAGGUGGUGCUUCAGCUGAGUAUGAUGAUGAUGAAGAAGGCGAAGAGGAACAUGACAGAAUUAGAAGAAGAUGAUGAAGAAGGGGAUGUUUAUGAGGAUGAAGAGGGGGCGGUUAAAGUCAAAGGAAUAGAGGGUAAUGAUGCAAGAGGAGUACGGAGGGGGCAGUGGAAGUGAGUAAAGGGAAUAAUGAUAAUGGCAAUGUUGCUAAAAAAAUGAUGCAGUGGAGGGAAUGGAGGAAGAGAAGAAGGAGAGUAGUGAGCCUUUUGCACAGCAGCUGGGCUUUUUAUAUGGGACAAUGUUGCAGGUCGACACAGGUAUUAUUUGGUUUGAGCGACAAUUAAUAAAUAACUGAUAGUGUACUUUCAUUAGGGCUUGUCAGUUAGUCUAGUCUCGUUUUUUGGUGCUGUAUAAUGAUUGUUUGCUGGAAUCUGUCUAGAAUGCUUUUGGCCUAGUAGGUUGAAAGGAGAGAAAGUUCUCAAAUAAACGUCCGUGCUUUGUGGAAUGUAAUUAAUAGGUACAAAGCAUACUAAAUUACUUGACAGAUAGAUGCCGAGCUAAUCAUGAGCUAUUAUAGCAUUAUCCGUGCUUUGUGUAUUUUUAUUAGGGCUUGUCUAUUUCAAAGUGUGCAGUGUAGAAUUUUUGGGUUAAGUUUGAGUGAUGAAGUGUUAGGUAGGUUUCUGUUUGGCGUAGUUAAGUGGUUAAUAUGAGCUAUCGAAGCAAAUACAGAGUAGGAUAUCUAGUUUUGGGUUUGGUCUUAGUUUGAAGAUGGUACUGAUUAUGCAGCUAGGUACGUAUUAGUGUUUGUGGAUUUCUAAAUGCUUUCUGUCAAAUGUGACUAGAUUAUUACUAGAAGUAUAUGGAUCUUACACUUAAUUGAUUACAUAUCCAUUUAUAAUGUUCAAAAUGAUAAUAUACUAUUACUUAAAAUUAUGCUUUCAAGACAUCAUUUUGAAAAUCCAUGGUUGUAAUGUGUCUCUAAAUUCAGUAAUACAAGUUCUGUCAAUUACUGUUGGAUGCAGUGACCUGAAUAGUUUAAUAUUCAUUUGCAGAAAAAAGUUGAGAAAGAAAACUAAAAAUUUCCGUGCGUUCUGCUGGAAAUUUAAUUAGCUUCAUUUGAGCAUUAAUUGCCGGCAUGAUCUCUUAGACUUCUCUUGCAUUGAAUGAAUGGAUGAGUGCUAAUCCAUGCAAAGACUUCCAUGCAUGCACAACGAAUGCUAAAUCUAAGGUAUGGUAAAAUGUCUAGCAAGCUUGGCCCAAAUUAUCAAGCUGGUUUGGUGGCUGCUAGAUUUGUUCACCCGGAUUUUGGACCAUUUUCCUUGACAAUGAGAAAAGCUCCAAGAUCUGUAAAUUGAAGACUCACUGAAAGAUCCAAGUUUCAGGUAACUCUUGUGUUGUGUGCUCGGAGUAUUCUCUAUUGUAUUUUUUUUGUUUGUUAUUUAUUUGACAUAUUACUAGCAGAGAUCUUGGGUGGGAACCAAAAAUUCCCAACAAUUGUCAAUUGUUUUAAACUCUAUUCUGAACAGAGCAUGAAGGGAUUCACUUAUCUAAUUAUUGCUUUUAUGCUUUAACUUCGCUUGAUUUCAUCUUUUCCGUCACCUUUAUUAAAGUUGUAUAUGUUGGAGUGUUAGGUUCAUCAUAAGGAUCAUAUUAUGGCUAAGGAAGGAGCACAGUUUAUCAGCUGCACUGAAGUGUAGCAGAGAAUUUGGAUUCAAGACUGAUGCAAGGCUGUUGCUGUGUAAUUGUAUGCCAUGCUUGCUAGUGCACUCUAAUAGAUUGCUGAGCUGGCACCGGAUGUUUUUAGCUAAUAUUAGUAAUUAGUCUAGAGUGUUCGAUUUAUUCUAUAAAUUGCUCAUUUGAGCUUAGAACCUUUAAAGUGUAUCACACGAUUCUGUUACUUCUAAUACAGAUUUUCUCUAUUCCUUUUUCUAUCACUUUCUCUUCCAUUUUCAUGAUCCCCAAACACCAUCAAUCCAUGAUUUCUAGAGUAUUAGCCGUCAAUCCAUGAUUUUCUUGUUAUUUUUUCUUUCACUUUCUCUUCCAUUUUCCCACUCCCCAAACACCACCAAUCCCUGAUUUUUUGAGUAUUAGCUGUCUAUUUCUACAAACAUAGAAGUGCUGUUUGUUUGUCCAAUUACUUUCGAGAAACAAAACUCUCUGUCCUGUGGUCUUUUCGUUUAUUGACUUGUGAGUAAAUAAGAUAUUGGGCCAAUGGACUCAACGUGACAAGUUCUUGAAUUGAAUGGCUCCUCUUUUCUCCAUAAAUCUUUGCUUAAUUUUUUUGCUCCCUCAACUUUUUGGGCCUUUUGCGUUAAAAUUCUUUUUUUGAUACAUUAUGCAAAAAUUAUGAUGAAAAUGAGUUACCUUAGAAGAUCAACAAAUUUUUAUUACAUGACAAGACAAUUAUACUUAGAUUACUCUUAUUUAGUUGAAUUAUAUGUAAUAAAAUUAGUUUAACAAAAUCUAAUCCGUAAAUAUUCCUUAUCACAUGAUUAACGUACUUAAAAAUCUUAACGGAUUGGUCGCUUGUUUUACAAUUCUUUUAUAUAUCUUUGAAACUUUCAGCUUCCUAACACAUCAUUUGUUAGAGUGCAAUUUAUGCACUAGUUUUGCAUUGUUUACUUCCCUUAAUAUCGAUGUUUUGCACUUAAUAAUAUUGAUUUACUUGUGUUUUACUUUUGUAUAAUGAUGGCAAUGGGGUGGGGUGGGGGUGGGGAGGCCUACCCCAUUCCCCACCCCGUUAGAAAUUUUUACCUCUAUUCCCCACCCCAUUCCCCAAUAAAUUUAGUGGGGUGGGGAUGGGGAAUCCCCAUGUGGGGAAUGCUUUCCCCAUUCCCACCCCAUUCCCCAUUUAUCUAUUUUAUAUUAUGUAUAAAUAUAUGAUUUCAGUAAGUUAAAAAUUAGAGACUUAAAAUAAAAUCAUCACCAUAUUAUAAAGUAUUUAAAUUCUUUUUAAAAAAAUAUCUAAAAGUUUGAACCAAUAUCUUAAAAUAAUAUUAAAAGUAAAAAAAUAUUUAAAGAGCGUAGCACUUUAAAAGAGAAAAGAAAAUAUAACAAUGUUUCAUAGUUGAAAAAUAUUAUAGGGUUUUUUUUCAUUCAUAUCCUGUUUAUAUUGCAUAAAAAUUAAAAAAAUAUUAAUUGACAUUAUAAUUCAUAAAAUAAAAAUUAUUAAAUAAGAAUUAAAAAUAUAUUUAUAUAUAAUGGGGAUUGGGGUGGGGGUGGGGGUGGGGUGGGGAGUGCAAAACCAAACCCCACCCCAUUAAGAAUUUGGGGAUUAUUUUUCCCCCACUCACCACCCCAUUCCCCAUAAAUUAUUCAAAAUUUUAUCCAUUUGGGGUGGGGCUCCAUGGGGCCCCAAACCCGUGGAGGAUUUUGCCAUCCCUACUUUUGUAGGUGCAAUUCUAUUGAUUGGUGAUAAAAUUGAGCUAUAAGAUUAUGUUUAAGGAUGAUUGUUCUCUUAGAGAAAUUAUGAGCGUCAGAAGAACUCUGUUGAUAAGGCGUGGGCGCGUACUGUCAACUGCGGACCUGCAGUUUUUAGUUUAACGUGUUUUGUAUUUUUGGUUAUUUUUGUAAUUACGAAUUUAAUAUUUCAGAUAUUAGGAUUUUAUUUUAAAUAGAAUUAUAAAAGAGAAGAGAGAGAGAGUAUUUAAGGGAGGAAUCUAUUGUGAAAAAGGGGGAUUUUUGGAUUGGAGAAAAAGAAAGAAACCCUAGAUCUAAUUUUUCUCUUCUCUCUAUGAGGAACUAAACCCAUUUUUCUGGUUGAAGGUUAAUGAAGCUUUGAUUCAUCACUACUGUGAGACCUUUCUUGUGCUUUAAUUGUUUUAUUGCUUUUUAGAUAUUUGUUUAUUCUCUGAAUUAUUUUCAUGAUUAUGUUUGUUAAUUAGGUAAUUGGCCACUAUUUAAUUAUCAACUUAAUCUAUUGUCAAUUAAAGGAUUCAUCGUAUGAAGAAUUUAAUGUUUGUGACAAAUAACAUAGCAGAGAGUUGUGUUGUGAGAAUAAAAAAUCUAAUUUAAAUGAAUCAUCAUAUGUGUUGAUUAGGAUUUGGGUCUCUCUGAUUUUUCAGGCUGUCAAUUGAUUAAAUCCUAUGAUCGUAUCUAGGGUUGUCUAUUGAUUAGGGAAAUAACCAACGGUCGUACCUUGGUUAUCGACUAGUUAAGGAGAGAUUGGCUAUUAGAGGGUCUCAGUAGCUAUAAUCGGUCUAUUCAUGAGUAAUAAUAAUCUAUAUUUGAAUCAAUGAUCAGUAGUCGAAUCAAGCUGAGUUAAUUCCUUCAACCAGAGCUUUCUCCAAUUUGAAUUACAACUUUAAUUUGCAUUCUUGUUAUUUUUAAUUUGAUUUUUAUUAUUGUCAACAAUUCCCCCAUUUUACGUUUUACGUUUCAAAAGGAUUUAAAUAAUUACCGAUCUCUGUGGACACGACCCUGCUCAAUCACUAUACACAAUUUAUUUAGAGUAGGAAUUUAUUUUUGUUGGCUUCGACACCCAUCAAAUUUUGGCGCCGUUGCCGGGGAUUGGUGUCAUUUAUUUAAUCAUUUUUACGUUUUACUUGGUGUAUGGUUCGUUCUUCUCGUACAGGUACACUUUCAUUUGAUCCUGAAAUUGAGAAGACAGCUCGCCAGCUGAGACAAUAGACUAAGCGAGCUAAGCAAGGAUCCUCGUCGCCUUUGCUUUUUGAAACAGAUACGGUGCCUAAUUUAGUUGAAUCAUCUAGCGAUUCGGAAGAACAAGUGAUGGAUAGACCUGCACCUGUAGAAAGAACUCUUAGAGAGUUAGUUGAACCAGACUUGAAUCAGCAACCACUCUGCAUUCAAUAUGUAGAUUUGGAGGUAAAUUUUGAAUUAAAGUCUGGUCUUAUUCAUUUAUUACCCAAGUUUCAUGGUUUUGCAGGUGAAGAUCCUCAUAAACAUCUUAAGGAGUUUCAUGUUGUGUGUUCAAGUAUGAGACCACAAGGCAUGACUGAAGAGCAGAUUAAGCUGCGUGCUUUUCCGUUCUCUGUAGAUGGGCUAGCUAAAGACUGGUUGUAUUACUUGCCUCCUGGAUCGAUUACAACAUGGAAUGAUUUGAAGAAGCAGUUCCUCGAGAAGUACUUUCCUGCUUCAAGAGCUGCUAACAUCAGAAAAGACAUUUGUGGGAUCAGACAACUUCCUGGGGAGACUUUGUAUGAGUAUUGGGAGCGAUUCAAAUAAUUGUGUGCCAACUGUCCUCAACAUCAGAUUUCUGAUCAACUUCUUAUUCAAUAUUUUUACGAAGGACUGUCAUUGAUGGAUAGGAGUAUGAUAGAUGCUGCUAGUGGAGGCGUGUUGGUGAACAAGACCCCUACUCAAGCAAGGGAGUUGAUAUCAAAUAUGGCUGCCAAUACACAACAAUUUGGCAACAAGCAAGAUUUCACUUCAAGAACGGUGAAUGAGGUAAAUAUUUCUUCUGUUGAACAACGUUUAGAUAAACUUACUUCUCUUGUGGAAAAGUUUGUUGUAGGUAAUGUGCAACAGGUGAAGACUUGUGGCAUUUGUUACAAUAUGGGUCAUUCAACCGAUAUGUGUCCUACACUUCAAGAAGAACCCGUUGAACAAGCCAAUGCAGUUGGAGGAUUUCCAGGUAUGCCUCAGAGGAGGUAUGAUCCUUAUGCACAAACAUACAAUCCGGGAUGGAAGGAUCAUCCUAACUUCAGCUAUGGAGUUAGGCCGUCAAGAUUCCCACAACAGUAUCCACCAAGACAACCAACACCUCCACAGUCAAACUCCAAGUCAGGUGUAUCUCUUGAAGAAAUUGUUAAAUCACUUGCGACUAACACUCAACAAUUUCAGCAGGCAACUACAGCAAGCAUUCAGAACUUGGAGAACCAAAUGAGUCAAUUGGCGACUACAGUGAGCCGUCUGGAGUCUCAAGUAUUAGAAAGAUUGCCUUCACAAUCUGAGGUGAAUCCAAAGCAAAACGUUAGUGCUGUCAUCCUUAGAAGUGGGAAGGAGUUGCAAGAGCCUAGUAAGAAAGUGACAAAGCAUGUAGAAGAUGAGCUUGAGAAGAAUGAAUUGAUGCCUAAAUCUCAAGAUGCGCAACCCACCAAAGCGAAACCCGUACCUAUUGUGAUACCUCCUCCUUUUCCAAGCCGGUUUACAAAAUCCAAGAAGGAGGAACAAGAGAAAGACAUCCUUGAGACAUUUCGCAAGGUUGAGGUAAAUAUUCCUUUAUUAGAUGCUAUAAAACAAAUACCUCGAUAUGCUAAAGUCCUUAAGGAACUGUGCACCUCCAAAAGAAAAUUAAGAGGAGAUGAAAAAGUUCAUAUGGGGGAGAAUGUUUCAGCAGUUCUCCAAAAGAAACUACCUCCUAAGUGCAAGGAUCCAGGUAUGUUUACUAUCCCUUGUAAAAUUGGUAGUGUUAGAGUUGAAAAGGCUAUGUUAGAUCCAGGAGCUUCUAUUAAUGUCAUGCCUCGUUCCAUUUAUUCAUCUUUGAAUUUUGGUCCAUUAAAAGAAACUGGCGUGAUAAUUCAACUAGCUGAUAGGUCUAAUGCAUAUCCUGAUGGGGUAUUAGAAGAUGUCUUAGUACAAGUUAAUGAGUUGGUUUUUCCUGCUGAUUUUUAUGUACUUGAUAUGGAAGAUGAUAACUCCUCUAAUUCUGUCCCAAUUUUGCUAGGAAGACCUUUUCUUAAGACUGUUAGGACUAAAAUGGAUGUACAUAAAGAGACUCUCACUAUGGAGUUUGAUGGAGAGGUUAUAGAAUUCAAUAUGAAUGAUACCAUGAAAUAUCCUAGUGAGGAACAUUCGGUAUUUUCUAUGGAUGUUAUUAACCCUAUAGCGCAGGAAAUUUUCUACAAGGAAAAGACGAAGACAUUUCAUGAUAGAAUGAUUUUGAGAAAGGAGUUCUCUGUUGGUCAAAAAGUUCUUCUUUUUCAUUCUAAGCUUAAACUUUUUCCGGGUAAAUUACGUUCUUGCUGGGUUGGACCUUUUAUUGUUACUAAUGUUUUUCCUCAUGGUGCAGUUGAGAUUCGGAGUCCGACCUCUGACAAAGUUUUUAAGGUUAAUGGUCAUCGCUUAAAACCUUUUUAUGAAGGUUUUUCGGUGAAUAUUGUGGAGGAUGUGGCUCUCGAGAGUCCCAAUUAUGGAGAUUGAUGCAUAAAUGUGUCUAGCCAAAGACAUAAAACAAAGGCGCUUUUUGGGAGGCAACCCAAUUGAUUUAUUUAUUUUGGUUUUUGUCAUAUCUUCUUUUAAUUUUGAUUCAGAUUUUUUUUUUUAAAUAAUGUGUUUGCUUAUUUUGGUCAGAAGAAAAUUUUUGAUAAGGCGUGCCCACAUCUUAACUAAUAAGUACUUCUAUGAUUUUUAAAAUAAAAUGGUUUUAAGGCAUGCCCACGUGCUUAUUAGAAAAGUACUUCUGAAAUUUUUAGUGCCUCAAGUGAUUCAUCACUAAAAAAAAGAAAAAAUUAAAUUAAAAAAAUUAUUUUAUUUUAUUUUUUUUUCUAUUUAUUUAUUUUAAAAAAACAAAAAAAGAGAUUUUCUUUUGUUCUUUCUUUUAUAUAUUUAUUUAUUAAAAAAAAUUUCAAAAAUCACUGUUCAAAAAAAAAAAAAAUUUUUUUUCACUGUUCACAAAAUCCCUAAUUUUCCAGAACUUGUUUUCUUCUCCAACCGCUUGCAGCACACCAGCAGCACCUGCGCGCGCAGCACCAGCAUCCCGUGUCUCGCAGCCCAGCAGCGCGCAACGCAGCGCAGCACCCGCAAAGCAAGCCUCAACAGCGUGCAGCGCGAACCAGCCCCAGCCCGAGCACGCAACGCAACAAGCGUCACCAGCGCGCGCACCAGCAAUCCCCCAGCGCGCAGCAACAGCCGCAGCACGCUGAUCCAGCGUCACCAGUUCGCAGCAUCAGUCCCAUCCACGCGCAACUGAACCAGCAGCUGUGUACUCGCAAGCUCCAGUCGAGCAGCAAUAGUCCGCAACCAGCCUACGACCUGCAUUCCAGCCACAUGAAUCGAAAUCCGUGACAAGAUGAAGCAGAAUUUGGCCGCAUACUUCAAGAGUGUGGGAUUUAUCCCACCAUUCCCGCCAAGCCCAUAGACGUUAUGUGGAUCAAAGCUCACAAUUCAGGGAAGUUUUUGCCUUUAAUCUUUUAUCCUUACGCUUUAAUUUUUAUGUGAGCUUUGAUUAUCUUACAUUGGGGACAAUGUAAGUUAUUGGUGUGGGGGAGGGAUUUUUGCAUUAUUGAUGUCUGGAAUUAUUAUUUUCACUCUACUUAUUUUUUUUUCACUCUACUCAUCCUUAAAUGAUUUUGGAGUUAGUAUGCUUCAUAUAUUAUUAAUUUUCUUUUCAUUUCUCUCUCACUACUCUUUUCCCAUCUAUCUCAAAUUAUUUACAUCUAUUUUUUUUUUCUUUCUAUCAUACUCUUUCAUCACUCACAUUUUUUUUUACCUUUCCUUUUAUAUCUCACUCAUACCUUCUUCUCAUUGUACACCACUAUUUAUGGUUAAUUCAUUUAAAGAGUGUACAUGAUUUGAUGGCAAAUUUACCAACUUUGUGAGGAUUUGAGCCUAUGAGCAACCACUUUGCUCUAAUUAUUUUUUGUUAUGUGAAUAUCAAUCCUAGUUUGUUUAUUCUAGAACUUGCUUUGAUAUGCAUGUUGAAGCCACAUUACGGGAUUUUAUGCAUUAAAAUGAUAAGGGCAAACCAUUUACCAUUUUUCUAUUCUCGCAUUUUCCUUUUUCUCUACUCGAAGACCUUUAUUUGCUACCUUUGUUUGAGCCUUAACAAUUACCCAUCCAUUUUUCUUCUUUUUUGAGCCUCAAUUUAAGGAUAUUUUUGGACUCAUUGUGUGGAUAUAUUUUGUUGCUUUUUCUACCUUGUAGUAAAGCUUCUCAAUUAGAUCAACAAGCAUUAUGCUUGAAUUAAAUUGUGCAAGGUUCGUUUCUUUUGUUUGAUUCAAAAACAAAAACAAAAACAAAAACAAAAACAAAAAAGAAAAAAAAAAGAAAAAUCACAAAAAAAAAGAGAAAAAAAAAGGAAAAAAAAUGUUUACAUUCUUGGUGACUUGAGUAGAAAUAAGCAUUUUGAUAUCAUAAGUUCAUUCAAUGAGUUCAUUCUUCUCGUUUUGAUCUCUUUUUCUUUCAUAAACCUUUCUUUUUCAUUUAACCCAUUUAACCCCAUUACAACCCUUUUAAGACCCUUAGAUUUUUGCAUUUUAUUCAUGUUUUGUGGAUUGAGAUGUGAUAUAUGAGCAAGCUUAUGGUAAUAGCAUUCUUUGAUUUGAUUUGAGUGGAUAAAUGACAUCCUAAACACUUUCAGUGCAUGGAGUGAAGUUAUUGAGAGGGCUAUUACAUCUUGUUGCACUUGAAUUUUGAAUGGAUCUUCUUGGUGGUUGAAUGUUCUUAUUCUAUCUUAUGAAAUUCUAUGCUUUAAAAUCCUUGUCUCUCGAACGUUGAACGACUUAAUUUCUUGAGGUAUGCUUGCUUAAAAUUGUUUUUGGAUGAGUUGAGAUGAGAAUUGAGUGGAGAUUUGGGAUUAAUCUUGAGUUAUAUGCUUGAGGACAAGCAUCAUCUUAACGUGACAAGUUCUUGAAUUGAAUGGCUCCUCUUUUCUCCAUAAAUCUUUGCUUAAUUUUUUUGCUCCCUCAACUUUUUGGGCCUUUUGCGUUAAAAUUCUUUUUUUGAUACAUUAUGCAAAAAUUAUGAUGAAAAUGAGUUACCUUAGAAGAUCAACAAAUUUUUAUUACAUGACAAGACAAUUAUACUUAGAUUACUCUUAUUUAGUUGAAUUAUAUGUAAUAAAAUUAGUUUAACAAAAUCUAAUCCGUAAAUAUUCCUUAUCACAUGAUUAACGUACUUAAAAAUCUUAACGGAUUGGUCGCUUGUUUUACAAUUCUUUUAUAUAUCUUUGAAACUUUCAGCUUCCUAACACAUCAUUUGUUAGAGUGCAAUUUAUGCACUAGUUUUGCAUUGUUUACUUCCCUUAAUAUCGAUGUUUUGCACUUAAUAAUAUUGAUUUACUUGUGUUUUACUUUUGUAUAAUGAUGGCAAUGGGGUGGGGUGGGGGUGGGGAGGCCUACCCCAUUCCCCACCCCGUUAGAAAUUUUUACCUCUAUUCCCCACCCCAUUCCCCAAUAAAUUUAGUGGGGUGGGGAUGGGGAAUCCCCAUGUGGGGAAUGCUUUCCCCAUUCCCACCCCAUUCCCCAUUUAUCUAUUUUAUAUUAUGUAUAAAUAUAUGAUUUCAGUAAGUUAAAAAUUAGAGACUUAAAAUAAAAUCAUCACCAUAUUAUAAAGUAUUUAAAUUCUUUUUAAAAAAAUAUCUAAAAGUUUGAACCAAUAUCUUAAAAUAAUAUUAAAAGUAAAAAAAUAUUUAAAGAGCGUAGCACUUUAAAAGAGAAAAGAAAAUAUAACAAUGUUUCAUAGUUGAAAAAUAUUAUAGGGUUUUUUUUCAUUCAUAUCCUGUUUAUAUUGCAUAAAAAUUAAAAAAAUAUUAAUUGACAUUAUAAUUCAUAAAAUAAAAAUUAUUAAAUAAGAAUUAAAAAUAUAUUUAUAUAUAAUGGGGAUUGGGGUGGGGGUGGGGGUGGGGUGGGGAGUGCAAAACCAAACCCCACCCCAUUAAGAAUUUGGGGAUUAUUUUUCCCCCACUCACCACCCCAUUCCCCAUAAAUUAUUCAAAAUUUUAUCCAUUUGGGGUGGGGCUCCAUGGGGCCCCAAACCCGUGGAGGAUUUUGCCAUCCCUACUUUUGUAGGUGCAAUUCUAUUGAUUGGUGAUAAAAUUGAGCUAUAAGAUUAUGUUUAAGGAUGAUUGUUCUCUUAGAGAAAUUAUGAGCGUCAGAAGAACUCUGUUGAUAAGGCGUGGGCGCGUACUGUCAACUGCGGACCUGCAGUUUUUAGUUUAACGUGUUUUGUAUUUUUGGUUAUUUUUGUAAUUACGAAUUUAAUAUUUCAGAUAUUAGGAUUUUAUUUUAAAUAGAAUUAUAAAAGAGAAGAGAGAGAGAGUAUUUAAGGGAGGAAUCUAUUGUGAAAAAGGGGGAUUUUUGGAUUGGAGAAAAAGAAAGAAACCCUAGAUCUAAUUUUUCUCUUCUCUCUAUGAGGAACUAAACCCAUUUUUCUGGUUGAAGGUUAAUGAAGCUUUGAUUCAUCACUACUGUGAGACCUUUCUUGUGCUUUAAUUGUUUUAUUGCUUUUUAGAUAUUUGUUUAUUCUCUGAAUUAUUUUCAUGAUUAUGUUUGUUAAUUAGGUAAUUGGCCACUAUUUAAUUAUCAACUUAAUCUAUUGUCAAUUAAAGGAUUCAUCGUAUGAAGAAUUUAAUGUUUGUGACAAAUAACAUAGCAGAGAGUUGUGUUGUGAGAAUAAAAAAUCUAAUUUAAAUGAAUCAUAGCAGAGAGUUGUGUUCAAGUAGUUCUUCUGCGAAAGCCAAAUUUUCCUGUUAUUUAUGUCUCGGUGAAUUUGCAUCCCUAAAAUCUUGUUUGCUGGUCCCAAGUCCUUCAUUUCAAACUCCCUAGCCAACUGUGCCUUUAAUUCUUGGAUUCGAUCUUUAUUGGGACCUGCUACCAACAUGUCAUCUGUUGAGUGUUAGAAAAUGCAUAUUUAUAAAGGAGAAAACCGUCAUUUUACAUUUCAAGUCUUAUUAACAACCCUUACUUUUAUGUAUUUAACCUUCUUGUGAUUUAAUUACAUGUGUUUUAUUUUAAUUAAGUAUUUUAUGUAUUUUAGGGGCAUUAUAGUCAUUUCACAAUAAAGGAGAGAUCAGACGGAAAAACGGACAUCACUUUUGAACUCAGGACGGUCGAAAAUCUUAGGAGGAGCAUAAAAGGAAAAAUGGCCCUAUUCAUAUGUACGGUACUAUUCACGUGUACGGUACUAACUACGUUACUGUUCACAACACUGUUCACAUAGACGAAUCGAUGACGUGGCAUUGACCGAUGAUGUGGCAUUGACUGAUGAGAUGUCACGAUCUUGUUGGGCUAAAAUUCUUAUGUACUGUUGAUGGUGACGUGGCAGCAUAUCAGUGGAUGAAAAAUCUCGCGUACGGUACAUGCAUCACACAGGAUUAUUUUCAACCAAACCGCGUUACUGUUCAUCCGAGUCAAACCGCGUUACUGUUCAUCCGAGUCAAACCGUGUUACUGUUCAUCCACGUGGUCAAACCGUGGACUGUUGACUGAUGACGUGGCGCAAUCCUGAGCGUCCAAACUGUUUUUAAUCCGAUGGCCAUGAUUUACUCCAUGUAUCUAUAAAAAGGGGGCCUCCCCCCCCUAAUUUGAUAGCUCUGAAUCUAUUUUUUGGAUCCAUUUUCUGUAAUUCCCUCUCCAUCUUGUAUUUUCUUUGUAUUUUAAUAAAUUUUCAUUUUGCCCCUAGUUCAAUUAUGAGGAGCUAAUUUCCUUUCAAGCUUGGGUUGAAGGUGAAGUCUCAACAUGUGUCAUGGGCUUUAUUUGGUAAAUUUAUUUCCUUUUCCCCUCUAGUUUUUGUGGAUGAUUUGACUUAUCGUCGACAAAUAAUACUGAUCUUGUCUAGAUACCGCCUUGGUUACACCGGCUCUCUAGUAUAAGGUUAUUAUUAUUUGGCACGAUAAGCCCUUAGCACCAUAUUGAUUAGAGCGUGGUUCAUGAGGUGUGGAUUCCCCCCUCAUGAUUUAAUUGGCAUUAAUAAGGAAUAUUUAGCCCAUGAUGCAUGUUGAUACGGAUCCAGAUACCCAAGUACGUCAUUUCAAUAGAAUUCUCUUCAAUUUAUUCUCGCUAUUUCAAUUCCAAUUUUAGAAUUUAUUCUCGCCAUUUUAAUUUAAGUUUUAGUAUAUUCCAAAUCAUUUCCACCACAAAUCCAAUCACCCAUUUACAGAAUUAAUUCUACACAUAAUUAAAAUCCACCUCCUCGUGGGAUCGACACUCGUCACCAUUGAUCUACACUACAAUAGAUUCGUGCGCUUGCGAGUACAUUAAAAUUUGCACAACAUCAUCCACAUACAACAGUAAAAUAAUGAAAUCAUUAUCUUCAAACCUCUUGUAAUAUGCACAAUGGUCUGAACUGAGUCUGUUGUAUCCAAGGCUCAUGAUGAAGGAAUCAAAUCUCUUAUACCAACACCUCGGCGCCUGUUUAAGACCAUAUAGAGAUUUGUUCAACCUGCAAACCAAGUUCUCCUUUCCUGUUUCUGCAAAACCUUCUGGUUGGAGCAUAUAUAUUUCUUCUUCAAGUUCUCCAUGAAGAAAUGCAGUUUUCACAUCUAACUGCUCUAGAUGUAAGUCAAAUGUAGCACACAUCGCCAAGACUACUCUGACUGUUGUGAGUCGAACCACCGGAGAAAAUAUCUCGUUGAAGUCAAUACCUUCUUUCUGAGUAUAUCCUUUCACCACCAAUCUCGCACGAUACCGCUUCACUUGGUCAUUGCCAUCACGCUUGAUCUUGUAGACCCAUUUGUUUCCAAUGGCUUUUCUUCCACGUGGUAGUGGUACAAGUUCCCAUGUCUUAUUCUUAUGUAGAGCUUCAAUUUCUUCCUGCAUUGUUGUUAUCCACAAAGCAAUAUUUGAGCUUUCUAAAGCUUUAUGGAAAGUUGAUGGCUCUCCAUCCUCCGUUAGAAGACAAUAUGCAACAUUAAUUUCUGUGACAUACUCCGAGUGCCACACCGGCGGUCGUCUCUCACGAGUUGACCGUCGAACUUCUGGAGCCUCAGACCCGACUGGUUCUUGUUCCUCGUGCUCUGGUGCUGCUUGAGAAGAAUCUGAAUCUUCUAGAUUAUUUUCCACAUAUACUGGCACGGUCUCUGACUUUUCUUUUGUAGUGCCAUCAUCCUCAUCUCUCAUUUGCAGUUGAUCUUCUACAAAGAUAACAUCUCUGCUGAUGACGAUCUUGUGGGCAGUGGGGUCCCACAGACGAUACCCCUUUACUCGAUCAGCAUACCCCAAGAAAAUACAUAUUCUAGAUUUUGGAUCCAGCUUUGUUCUUUCUUGGGCAUUGUACAUCACGUACACAGGACAUCCAAAUGCAUGUAGGUAGGAAUAAUCAGCUGGCUUUCCAGUCCAUAUCUCCAUCGCUGUCUUCAGCCCAAUAGCUGUAGAUGGCGAUCGAUUUACUAUAUAACAGGCAGUUUUGGCUGCUUCUGCCCAGAAUGAAUUGGGUAGACUAGCAGUCUUCAACAUAGCUCUUAUUCUUUCUAUAAGAGUUUUGUUCAUCCGCUCUGCUACUCCAUUUUGUUGAGGAGUGUAUGCUACCGUGAACUGCCUUUGAAUACCUUCUUGCUUACAGAAAGCAAGAAACUCACAGUCUGUAUACUCUCCACCAUUAUCCGUCCUCAAGCACUUGAUCUUUUUACCAGAUUCAAGUUCCACCUGCGCUUUGUAUUCUUUAAAUACUGGAAAUACAUCUGACUUUUUCUUAAUUGGAUACACCCAACAUCUUCUGGAAUAAUCAUCAAUGAAAGUCACCAUGUACUUUGCACCUCCCAUAGAUAUAUCCAGUGAUUCCCAAACAUCAGAAUGAAUCAAGUCUAAAAUGCAUUUACUUCUAGCAAUAGAUCUACUGAAUUUUAAUCUAUGCUGCUUACUUGUAACACAAUGCUCGCAAAAUGGUAAACUUACCGAUUUGAGCCCCGGAAGCAAUUUUCGCUCAGAGAGAAUCUUCAAACCUUGUUCUGACAUGUGGCCAAGUUUGAGAUGCCACAUCAUCGUUGAUUCUUCUCCAUUUGAUGCGACACAUGCAUCAGCCUCCUGUAGUGUUUCUCCUUUAAGCAUGAAUAAAUUAGCACCGAUCUUUUCUGCCUUCAUCAAUACAAGCGCACCUUUAACGAUCUUUAUAAUUCCAUUCUCCACAUGAGUUUUGUACCCAUGACUAUCCAUUUGUCCCAAAGACAAUAGAUUUUUCUUCAGGCCGUUGACAUGUCGUACUUCUCCAAUUGUGCGAAUUGUACCAUCAAACAUUUUUAUUUUGAUAGUACCAAUACCAGCGAUCUCUAAGGCAUGAUCAUUACCCAUAUAUACAGAUCCUCCUGAGAUAGGUUCAUAUGUGUGGAACCAUUCUCUCCGAGAGGUCAUGUGCCAGGUAGCUCCUGAGUCUAUAAGCCAGACAUCAGACAGUCAUUUUCUGCCUUCUGAAACAGUUGUUGCCUCGCUAUAGAGAAUUUCGCCAUCAUCUAAGGUACUUGCCACACACCCUUGAGCAUUUGAUGACUCAGGUUCUUUACCCUCUCUUCUCUUCUGGUUACUCCAACACUCUUUCUUGACGUGCCCUUUCUUGCCACAUUUGUAGUAUUUAACAUUCUUCUUACUUCUGGAUUUUGAUCUACCCUGAUUUUGACUCCCACUGGGGCCACGUUCCGUUAAUCUCCCUCUCGUCACCGAUAGCGCUUCUGCUUGCUGCGAACUUGCUUGUCUGUUUUCCUUAUUUUUUCGCCUGCUCUCCUCAUUUAAUACGGAGGCUGCAACAUCGUCGAAAACUAGACUCUCCACUGGAUUGUUGUUCGUCAGGUUGAUGAUGAGUUGAUCAUACGAAUCUGGUAGACUUUGAAGUAGAAGCUUUGCACGUUCAUUUUCCUCUAUAUUAUGACCCAACGUUGUGAGUUGUGAAAAUAGAGUCUUCAAUGUGUUGAUGUGGUCGGUCACCAUUGUAGAUUCCGCCAUUCGAAGAGUAUAGAGUUUUCUCUUCAAGAAGAUUUUGUUGUGUAGUGACUUGGCCUCAUACAAUUUUGUGAGAGUAUCCCAUAUUUCCUUUGCCGUAUUUUUCUCUGCCAUACUGGAUAAUACUCCAUCCGCAAGUGCCAAGUGUAGAUCAGAAAUGGCGUUGCCGUCUACCUCGUUCCACUUGUCAUCAGUUAUUUCCAUAGGCCUUUCUCCAAUUGCUGCCAAGCAAUUAUUUUUCCUCAAUACAGCUUUCAUCUUCAUUUUCCACAACGAAAAAUUAUUUCCGUUAAAUUUCUCAAUUUCAUACUUUGCCGCCAUUUUGUUGAUAAAUAUCGCACACAAGCUAGUGUACCACCUUGAAUAGUUGUGAGUAUGUGUGAGAAUGCACACCAGGAAAGUUCCCAGGAAAGACUGGAGGGGUCACAAUGGUCCUACUUAAAACCCAGACUCCUUAAGCUCUUAUCGCUUUUGUGACAGAACUUUCCUAGACAUGUACAAAACCACAAUUGUUUUACUCACACCACUAUUCCCUGCUUUGCAUCGCAAAAUUCUUGGAUCGCUCCCACCGCUUCUUGUGAAUAGUACCGUAUACGUGAACAGUACCGUAUACGUGAAUAGUACCCCUUACGUGAACAGUACCCGACUCCAAAAAAUACAACUAAUAGCUCUGAUACCACUGCUAGGAAAUUGGUGGGUGAAGCAGACACGUAGCUAAAAUAAAAUUGGAAGAAAAUAAAGAACAAGCACUCUAGAGGACACCAGAAAAUUACGUGGUUCGGCUUUUAGCCUACAUCCACGGGCGAAGACAGAAGAAAAUAUUUUACUAGUGAAAAGGAGUUACAAGUAUUGUAGUAUUUUAGCUCACUUCCCAAAACCCCAAUACACCUAAACUCUCUCAAUCACUGUAACAAGAGCUUAUAAAUGCAAGCUCUCUAAAUUCUCUCUAAAUACAAGAGAAAUCUUCUCAAAAUUGGAUGAUCAAAUGAGGGAAUGAGUCCCUCUAUUUAUAGCCAAAAUCUUGGCUACUAUUCACGUAUUUUUUUUAAUUAUUUAUUAUUGUUCAAAAUUCAAAAUUCAAAGUUUGAUAUUCAAACUUUGAAUAUCUAGAAUUUUGAAUUUGAUAUUCAAAGUUUGAAUAUCUAGAAGUUUGAUUUUGAUAUUCAAACUUUGAAUAUCAAGACACCCAAUCUUGACAUCGGAGGCUUCGUUUUAGAAGAGUGCAGAGCAGCUGCCUUGUCCAUUUGGCACGCCAACGACUUUCUAUUGACCAAUAAUUUUGAAAGCGAUAUUAGUAAUUUACCAUCUAAUAUUUUUUUUAUAUUAUCAUUUUACCAUAAAGUUUUUUAACAAUUAUUUUUUUCCUUAAUGUUUUAGUUUUUAUUAUAUUACUACCAAAAAUUGGCAAACGCACUCCUAGUGUAGGUUAUCCACAAAAUGGCUACCGAAUUGUCUUGUUUCUCAUUUUGUUUAAUUUUCAUAAAUUCGACUCACGAUUCAAAUGUGAGUGAAGAGUUUUUUUUUUGGGAAAAAAUCUGGUCUUCCAUUUACUAGAAUUAGGUAUGUGUGAUUUUAUUAUUUUUCUUUUGCUUUAUAUGUAUCUGGAAAAUUAUGAAUACUUUGCAGGAUUUAGAAGGAUUUGAAUGUUUGAACGCAUAUAGCUUUCUGUCCAUCAGCUAAUGCAUAUUCUGCAUUUUAUGAAUAUCAGAGCUGGUAGAUUGAAAAAUGGACCUUAUUACAUGUCAUAAGAUACUUUGCUCAAAGCUGCAAUUGGGCAACGUCGUGCUGUUCUUAUCCGCCAAUGCAAGCCAUUUACUAUUCUUUCUAAUGGAGCAAAAUAAGAUGAUUCUUACCUGCAUAGAGAAUUAGAAAAGAAAAGGAGGAUUACUGAUCCACAGAGCUGUCAUUUACUAGAAGCACAUAAAAUCUUACACUUAAUUCAUUAACCAUAUGUAUAUUCUAAUGAUACUUAAGUAUUACCUAAACUAGCCUUUCAAAAUUUCACUUCGAAAAAAUCCAAGGUUGUAAUGUGUCUAUUUGGUUGCUAAUACAAGUUCUCUCUAUUCCCAAUUUUUUAUGCUCUCACUUCGCUUGAUUCACCUUCUCCAUCUUUUAAAACAGUUGUAUAUGUCGGGGUAUCAAGUUCAUCACAAGGAUCAUAUUAUGGCCUAAGGAAGGAGCACAGUUUAUUGUCUGCACUCAAGCUUAGCAGAGUGUUUUGGGAUUCAAGAGUGUUAGUAGGCCGUUACAGAUGCCAUGCUGGCAAGCGUGCUAUGACUGAUUGCUAUUUGCACGCAAAAUUUGCCCAAAACAAAUAGAAUGAGAAUACUUGUACAAAAGGACAAGAUUAAUAAAGUGAAUAAAUUUUAUCUUUUAGUGAAUGCUUCUUGUCUUUUAGAAUUUUAGUGCAUUUUCGUGUGUAAUUUUAUGUGCAAAUAGCAUUACUCAUUAGUAAUUAGUCUCGAGUGUUCUAAUUUCUUCUAAUAAGUGGCUGAUUUGAGCUUAAGACUUGUAUUUUAAGUUUUUAUUACUUUCUAAUAAAGAUUUUCUCUGUUCUUUUUUACUUUCACUUUCUCUUCCAUUUUCCCGACUCCCAAACACCACCAAUCCUUGAUUUUCUAGAGUAUAGCUAUGCAGUUCUACAAACACGAAACUGCUGUUUGUCCAUUUACUUUCAAGAAACAACGUACUCUGUGGUUUAUUGACUUGUGACUUGUGACUUGUGACCGGGGCAAAUUAGUCACGGUCCGAUUGUCUCCUCUUCCACUGACUCUGUCAAUUCAUGACUUUGGCACACAGUAGACGCCAGCUGCCUGCUUCAUUUGACGUGCAAAAAACUUUCUUGAAUCGGGUUAAAAUCGAUUGAUUAUUUUGUUUGGUGAUGAUGAGUUAGUUGUCAAUUCAUGAGUUUGAUGCAGUGAAACGCUUAACGCUCUCUUGUGAUGCGCAGGAGAAAAGCCAGUGAUGAUGAAGAGGACGAAAAACAUUAUUUUGUUAUUUACAAUAAGGCUAUCAAUUAUAUAUUCCAAAAUAAUUGGGUUUGGAUGGUCAUUUUGUUUUCUAAAAUAUCCAAAUGGAAACAGAAUUUAUAAAGUGGGAAAAUCAAGAAAUUAAAUACUCUUCGUAUAGUGGAAGGAGAUUUGGUUGCCGUUAUGCUAAAUAAAAGAAAAAUAAAGUAAAAUUACAAUACUUUAAUAAUCUCAUUCCCAAUCAUACCGGAAAUAAAAAUUUUCUGUAUAGUUAUGAAAUAAUUAUUGAUUUUACUUUAGUGAUUUUUUUUUUAAAGUAAGGUAAGCAUCUUUAUUUUCUUUGCAAACGAGCCUUCUUUCUUUUGCUUUGGCCUUUACUCUAGACUGUAUUUCAUGGUCAUACUCAAUCUCAAUAUUUUGUAGGUUUGUGGCUGUUUUAUGAGUUACGAUUUUUUAUAGGGUUGCAUGUAGAUGAUACAUUUAUUUUUUUCUUUUUUCUUUUCUUCUUCGGUGAAGAUACUAAAAUUUAGUUUUUGUUAUCAUGUGAAAUGAAAAUAGUCCUCGUUUCAAGGAUUAAUGGGCCACUAAUUUCGUCUUCUUAGAAGAAAAUUUUUUGCAGCGAGGUAAUUCGAAGCUCGAAGAUUUCUAUAUUACAUAGCCAAACCUAAGUGAUAAGAAUUUCCAUAUGAGAUAUAAUUUGGAAAAAAAAAAAAAACCAAUUCAAGUUAAAGAUAAAAAAAUCUGUGUUCCUUAAAAAACAUAAUUCAAGCCACACAAUUUUUCUUGUUUCAUUUGAGAAAAAGAAAAUUGUGUUCCUCACAAAAACACUUUAACAUUUGUUGUCUCAUAGAGGGAAAUGUCCUUCAAAACAAUUGAAACGUUGUCCACAAACAUUGUCAUGUAGUUAAGAAAAACUUAAUUUUGAGAAGUGCAAGAGAUUGGUGGGACUCAUUUGAUUCAAGAAAAAUAAUCAGUCUCAUUUGAUACGCAAAGAGCUUUUCUACUCAUGCAGCCAAUAUUUUGAUGAAUGUGACAUUACUGGUUUGUAUAAUUUUUUGGAUAUUAUCUCAAUUUUACUUCUGUAGGUUUGUGGUUUGUAUAUUAUCUCAAUUUUUAAAAAAAUGUAAUGCAAUUAUCAAACACGACUAAUCCCAACAAUUUAUCCAAAAAUUUUUAUUUCAAGAAAUGUAGCAUUUAUGAUAGAAUGGCUAAUGUUUUCAAUCGACUUUCUGGAUAAAUGAUAAUUUUUUGAUAGAAAUGUUACUUAAGUAUUACAGGAAGAAAAUUAUAGAAUAAUUUUUUGAAUUAAUUGUAUUACUUUACGAUAACACUAUCACAAUCUAAUUUAAAAAAAAAAAGUUAUUCUUUAAAUUUCGCAUUACUAUUCCUACUUUUCUUGUUAUAGUACUUAAUGGCACUGGUGAAGCCUCAGAAUUAUCAAACAAAAGGCAAAAAUAGUUCAAUAUCUGCUGUCCCACUAAGCAUUGUUAAAUUCAUAUAAUAAAAUGAGUACUUAUAUUAAAAAAAAACAAUCGGUCUCAUUGCGUGCUCUUUCAUUGACAUAGGCAAUUUGCUGUCAACUUGUGGCACUUUUAUGAAUUUUCAAGAUUGGUGAAUUUUUCAAAUUUAAAAGAAAAAAAUACAGAAAUGUAAUUUCAAUUUAUCCAAAAAUUUGAGUUUCAAGGAAUACAGCAUUUAUUAUAUGUCAUGUUAAUAUAGAGAAGAAAAAUUAAAAAACUUCUUUUUGGAUGAAUAAAAGUAUUUUCUGAUAAAUAUUUCACAAUCAAAUUUAAAAAAAUUUCACUCCUCUUGGUACAUAAUUUAAGAAUUUAACAUUAUAAAUUAAUCUUUUUAAUCAAAGUAAUAAUCUCUCCUCGGUCUGCAAAUGCUAAAAUUUAAUAUUAUAUCCUUUGACAAUAUUUGCUCCAAAUUCACGAAAAUAAAAUUUCUAACAGAAUUAUGACAUUCGUUACUAGAAAUUUGUAUAAAAGUUGUGAGAAUAGAAGGUUUGAUCAUAGGAAAUUAAUAUAUCCCUAUCCGAUGCAAAAAUGAUUGUAAAGAAAAACAAAAGUCAUGGGCUUAUUUUGAAAAAAGAAAAAAUUACAUUCCUUUUUCCCGUUAUUAAAGUAAUUCUAAAAUCACUAGGCACACAAAGGAUAGGCUUUAGUUGACUGAGGUCAGCCUUAACGCAUGCCGGUCUUUUUCUCCUCUACAUUCUUAGAAAUUUUGGUUUCACUAUAAAUACUCGGUAUAUAGCAAACUUAUAAGUGUUCUUGCAUUACCAAUCCAACUAAGCACACGCUUACAAUAUAAAUACUCUCAUCUCAUGGAAAGACUUCAUUCUCUCAGGAUGAUGAGCAGAUUUCUCUUACUCCAUUGUUUGAUUCUUAUUUCCUUACUUAUCGCAGCUGCAACAGCCAACACAAGUACUAUUACCGCAGACCAAGAUGCUCUGCUUUCCCUGAAAGCUCACAUAACUCAUGAUCCAACCAAUUUCUUGGCCAAAAAUUGGAACACGAGUAUCUCUUUCUGUAAUUGGACAGGCGUCACUUGUGAUGUCCAUAGCCAUAGAGUCACAAUCUUGAAUAUUUCUGGCUUAAAUCUCACCGGCACCAUUCCUUCUCAGCUUGGGAAUCUUUCUUCUCUGCAAUCACUCAAAUCUCAGUUUUAACCAACUUUCUGGUUCCAUUCCCUCCGCUAUCUUCACCACGUAUACACUGACAUAUGUUAGUCUCUGUCAAAAUCAGCUCUCUGGGAAAAUUCCUGCAAAUAUUUGUAGCAAUCUUCCUUUCCUUGAAUUUCUUUCUUUGUCCAAAAACAUGUUGUAUGGCGGAAUACCGUCCACUCUAUCAAAUUGCACAUAUUUAAGAAUCUUAAGUUUGGCAUACAAUGAUUUCUCAGGAGCCGUACCUAGAGAAAUCGGGAACUUGACCAAACUUAAGGAAUUAUAUCUUGGCGUUAAUAGACUUCAAGGUGCGCAUGAUCACGAAGUUUAAUUAUAAGAAUUGUUCCCUGAGUUGUAGUAUGAAUAACGUUCCAUAAUACACUUUACACACGUUGAUUAAUUUGCAGGAGAAACUCCUCGAGAGUUUAGCAAUCUUGCCGACUUGGAGCAUAUGUCGUUGGCAGGCAACAAUCUCCAAGGCAUGAUUUUAAAGUUUUUGCAAUUUUAUUUUAGCGAUGCUUGCUUCUGUAUUCAUUCGCUUGUUCUUUGAUUAUGCGAUGAUUUAUUGUUUUUCUUUCAGAUAGAGAUAAAGCUCCAUGUCUCCCCUCACUCAUUUCAUUCUUUAAUUUAUGCAGAUAAAAAUUUAAAAAAAAUGUUUUGUAAUUUUCUUUUGUCAUAUUGCCACUUCCGUUUUGAAGCUCCCAAUCAAGUCGAUGAAAAUGAAUGAUGUUUCAUUCUUAUUCUUGUCAGCCUAAUUCUUAUAUAAUUGAAGAGUAAAUUGUUAUUAUGAUCAAAUUGUUUGCGCAUAUAUAAAUGUACUUUAUUUACAGGAGGUAUUCAACGGGAAUUGGGGAAUCUUACAAAAUUGGAGGGGUUACAGCUGUUCCAGAAUAACUUGAUCGGUAACUUUCUUUACAAUAUAUAUACGAGACAUCUUCCGCUUUUUAUUAGAAAUUAUAAAUUCAAGUUAAAUCUUAAUUAAAAGAUUUCAAGUCUCUCAUUAUAAAUUCUCAUAUGAUGAUGUGUCGUUACCACUAUCUAACAUUAUUCCCUUUUUUAUUAGAAAUUAGUUUGUGUUAAUUCAAAAUUCUGUAGCAUUUAAAAAAAUUAAAAACACGUGGAAUAAAUUGUUAAUCUUUCUUCUUUACUGAAUUUGGAUUUCUCAAAAAUAAUCAUGACAAGUAUGCUUCACUAAUGAUAAACAUGUGUGACAACUUCAUAAAAUAUUUUAUAUGGAAUCACUAAUUAUCUCUAAAGAUGCCAUCAGUGAUACAUAAUUUCUUAACAAGCACCGUACCAAAAGAAAUCAACAAUUUUAUUAAUCUUAAAGAGUUACAUCUUCACUGCAAUUAUGACAUAAAUUUUUAGUCAUCAAUCACAUAAUAUUUUAUCUUAACGGAUGAUGUUCAGUCUUGGAAUUUAUAAUAUCAUGAAGGUUAGUAGCAUUGAAAAUAAGAAAUUGUUCAUGUGCUAAAAAGUCAACUUAGUAUUUAAGUUUUUCACUUGAAAUUUUUGAAAAAAGUGUUGAGAACUAGCCCUCCUUAGUAUUUCAGCGGAUAAAUAUGAAAAAUGGGCUAGAAGAAAUUAUUUUAUUGUAAUAAGAGUUAGAAAGAGAGGAGAAGUACAGUACUCAUGACUUAGGCUUGCUGUGUGUGUGCUUAUUCUACUUGGGCUUUGGGCUUGAUUACACGGUCGAACGCUUACACCUGUUAAAAUAAUGGGCUUUUGCUUUCGCCGCACAUCUGAUAAUUUCCUAACCUUCCAAUUAGGUUAUAGCAAUUUAAAUAUAAAUAAUAAAGCAUGCUAAAGCUAGCAUUGGUGUAUGGCUGAGUGGUGUAAAAAGUGGAUCUGUUUUCAUGUAUUAUUUAUUCUCUAAAACAUAUUUGAAUACAAUUCUUUCAAAAUACCGAGGAAAUAGCACAUGAAAUCAGAAAUAUUUUAUUGUGAUGAGAAUUCAUAUACUCAUUGUAGUAGAACAUAUAAAAUAGACUAUAAAUUUAUUAUUCUUCGAAACAAACUUGAUUAUAAUUCCUUCAAAAUUAAGUUUGUCAUUAAAUGAUUUCUCAGGAGCCAUACCAAAAGAAAUCGGGAAUUUGACCAAACUCAAGGAAUUAUCUCUUGGCGGUAACAGGCUCCAAGGUGCGCAUGAUCACAAAGUUUAAUUAUGAAAAUUGUUGCAUAAGUUAUAUGGAUAUCCUUGAUAACCGCAGCAAGCAAACAAAAUCAAAUAAAAGCUAACUGAGACUCGAAUAUCCUAAACCCUGAAAAGGAAUGGUAAUGGUAUAAUAUGGAUUUUGAAGGCAUAUUUCACCGGACUCAACAUUUAUGGUUAAUUUACAACUCUUUGUUGGAAAGUCUGAGAAAUUGCUUUAUAUUAGGGGUGGGGAAAAUAAUGCUGGGCCACGAAUUUCAGGCAGAAUCCAGAUUGGGCCCAAUUAGACUUAUAGCUCAGCUCUGUGUAGAUAUCUGGGCCUUUACAAAUAAUUAAUGGGCCAAUUAAUAAUAAUAAAUAAAUUGAGAAGGGUGUGAGUGAAAUUAGAUAUGAAUGAAUCUGCCAAUGUAUGUACACAUUUUUAGCAAAAGAAAUCGGGAAUUUGACCAAACUCAAGGAAUUAUCUCUUGACCGUAACAGGCUCCAAGGUGCGCAUGAUCACGGAGUUUAAUUAUGAAAAUUGUUGCAUAAGUUGUAGUAUGAAUAAUGUUCCAUAAUACAGUUUAGACACGUUGAUUAAUUUGCAGGCGAAAUUCCUCGAGAGUUUGGCAAUCUUGCCGACUUGGAGCAGAUGUCGUUAUGGGAAAACAAUCUCCGAGGUAUGAUUCUAAACUUUUUGCGUUUUUUAUUAGAAAUUAAUUUGUAUUAACUAAAAAUUUUGUAGCAUCUGAAAAAAUUAAAAACACAUGGAAUAAAUCGUCAAUCUUCUAAUUUGGAUUUCUUAAAAAUUAUCUUGACAAGUAUGCUUCACUAAUGAUAUGCAUGUGUGACAACUUCAUAAAAUAUUUUACAUGGAAUCACCAAUUACCUUUAAAUAAUUGGAGAUGCCAUCAGUGAUACAUAAUUUCUUAACAAGCACCUUAUCAAAAGAAAUCAACAAUUUUAUUAAUCUUAAAAAGUUACAUCUUUACUGCAAUUAUGAAAUAAAUUUUUAGUCAUCAAUCGCAUAAUAUUUUAUCUUAACGGAUGAUGUUCAGUCUUGGAAUUUAUAAUACCUUGAAGGUUAGUAGCUUUGAAAAUAAGAAAUUGUUCAUUUGCUAAAAAGUUAACUUAGUAUUUAAGUUUUUCAAUUGAAAAUUUUGAAAAAAGUCUUGAGAACUAGCCCUCCUUAGUAUUUCAGCGGAUAAAUAAGAAAAACAGGCUUGAAGAAAUUAUUGUUGUGUGUGCUUAUUCUACUUGGGCUUUGGGCUUGAUUACACGGUUGAGCACUUACACCUGUUAUAAUAAUAGGCUUUUACUUUCACCACACGUUUGAUAAUUUCUUAACCUUCCCAAUUAGGUUAUAGCAAUUUAUAUAUAAAAAACGAAAGCAUACUAAAGCUAGCAAUUUUUUGACUGGUAUCAUUCCUUCAUCUAUUUCACGUCUUUCAUUAUAAAUUCUCAUAGGAUGAUAUCUCAUUUUUUAUUAGAAAUUAAUCUGUGUUUAUGCAAAAAAAUUUAGCAUCUAAAAAAAGUAUAAAAACACGUGGAAUAAAUCGAAAAUCUUUCUUCAUUACUGAAUUUGGAUUUCUCAAAAAUUAUCAUGACAGCUAUGUUAGUGUCUUACUAAUGAUAUGCAUGUGUGACAACUUCAUAAAAUAUUUUAUAUGGAAAAUAUUAAAAAUAGACUUGAAAAAAAUUAUUUUACUGAAAUAAUAGUUAAAAAGAGAGGAGAAGUAUUACCUAUUACACAUGGUCGAACACUUACACCUGUUAUAAUAAUAAUAGCAUCCGCCGGUCGACUAUGAGUGAUCAAAUUGUUUGCACAUGUGUAAUUUGCAGGAGCAAUUCCACGGGAGUUGGGAAAUCUUACAGGAUUGGGGUUCUUAGAGCUGGGUGAAAAUUUUUUAACCGGUAUCACUCCUUCAUCUCUCUCCAAAUUGCUUUUCUCUAUUAAAUUUGGAACUCUCAUUUAAUAACUUAACAGGUAACUUCCCUUACAACAUGUUUGUGUGACAUGUUUUGCUUCUCAAUUAAAAUAUUUCACUUCUCUCAUUAUAAAUUCUCAUAGGAGGAUGUGUUGUUAUUACUAUUUAACAUUAUCUCGUUUUUUAUUAGAAAUUAAUCUUUGUUUAUGCAAAAAAAUUUAGCAUCUAAAAAAAGUAUACAAACACGUGGAAUAAAUCGAAAAUCUUUCUUCGUUACUGAAUUUGAAUUUCUCAAAAAUUAUCAUGACAGCUAUGUUAGUGUCUUACUAAUGAUAUGCAUGUGUGACAGCUUCAUAAAUUAUUUUACAUGGAAAAUAUGAAAAAUAGACUUGAAAAAAAAUUAUUUUACUGAAAUAAUAGUUAAAAAGGGAGGAGAAGUACACUACUCAUGACUUAGGCUUGCUGUGUACUUAUUUUACUUGGGAUUCGAGCUUGAUUACACAUGGUCGAACACUUACAUCCCACGACAUAGGCUUUUAGGGACGAGUGGCGUCAAAUGUGUAUAUGCUUUUAUGUAUUAUUAUUCUUUGAAACAAAUCUGAUUAUAAUUCUUUUAAAAUACAGAUUAAAUGGCACGUGAAAUCGGAAAAUAUUUUACUGCAAUAAGAAUUCAUAUAUUCAUUGUACUAGCACAUAUAAAAUAAACUAUAAAUUUAGUUCCAAAAUACAUUCUUAUCUUCAUAUAAAUUUUACAUUAUUAAUUUAAAUUAAUAUUAAAAUAUGUUGUUUCUUUCACUAUGUUAUUUUAUUUACACAAUGAUGUGACUAUUGGAAUUAAUAAUACUUUUAAUUAUUUUGUAAAAAUAUAAAUUUAAUACUUUGUUAACAUUUUAACUACAUAUAAUAAUUAAACUGAAACUUGUAUUUAAAAAAUUCGAGUUACGCAUAUUCAUUUCAUGACAUAAAAGUGUAUAUUUAUGCUAAUUUACCAUUAUCAACAAAAAGAUUUGAGACAAAUAAUCUAAUUUAUAUUUUUAUAUUUAAAAUCUUGCAUUUAUUAUAUUUUGAAAAAAAUUUAUUUGCAAUUAUUUUAAACGGUUGGAUUCAAAUUUUCAUAGUUACUAAAGUCAAAGGGUAUAAAUGUAUAAUAGUCAAAAACAUAUUUGUAUGAUCAUUUUUCAAUGUAUAAAUUUUCUUAGUUAGUAGGAAAAUUAGAAAUUGUUGAUUUACUCAUAAAUAAAUUUAAUGUUUAGCAUUUCAAUUUUGGAAAACUUGAACUAAAUGUUGAUAACUUCGAAUCGGUCGAGCCGAGUUUCUCUUCCUUGACCCACGGACCCAUUGAAAGUUCUAUUCGAAUUGAGUUUCCUGGUGCUUAUAAAAAGCAUUUCUUUUCCUUGUUGCAGUAAUUUAUUCACAAAUGAGUUGAUUAGCAUCGAAGUUACCUGAGAGUCUGAGACCAUGCUAGUAGGAGAAAUUUGAUAAGAAAUUAUUUUACUGAAUUAAUUUAUUUUAUCUUGUUGCAACUGGAAUACUACUUUUUUUUUUGGGCCAUCACUUGGGCUUGAUUUACUUUAAUAGUAGCAUCCACCGACUUAGGCGUUUUUUACUUCUCACCACACAAUUUGAUCUUUUAAUUAGUUUUAACCACAUAAUCUAUCUAUUUCUCACCUAUUGCUUACUUAAAUCGCAUACAUAUUUUACCUACUAAUUUUUAUAAAUAUUAGUCAAAUAUAUUUUAUUACGUUUUUCUCGUAACUGCUCCAAAUGUGUACUAUUAAUACUUAACCCUCCCUUUUAAUUUACUGUGCAAUCUAUCUAUCACUUAAGUCAUAUAUAUUUGACCUAUAUUUUACCCCAAAAAAUAUAAAAAUAAAAGAAAAAGAAUGUGUAGCAAUUUGCAUAUAACUAACAAAGCAUUGAUGGUGUGUAGCCUUUCAAUACUUCACGACUGGCUUUUCUUGUGUGUUAGUACUUGUAAUAAUUGUGUAGUGUAUAAAUGGCAUUUUAUUAUUAAAGUGCGUCCAUUUUUAGAUAUUACUUAUUAUUUGAAAAAUAAUCUGAAUAUAAUUCUUUUAAAAAACAGGGGAGAUACCACUUGAAAUUGGUAAUCUCCAAAAUCUGGAGGAGUUGGACCUUCGUCAAAACAAAUUAGUUGGUAUUGUCCCCGCUGCAAUCUUUAAUGUGUCCACGCUCAAAUUACUUCAGCUUCAGAAUAAUUCUCUCUUGGGAUGUCUUUCGUCCAUCGCAGACGUCCGACUACCAAAUCUUGAAGAGCUUUCUUUAUGGGGUAAUAAUUUCAAUGGCACAAUUCCUCGUUUCAUCUUUAAUGCUUCUAAGCUCUCUAUACUAGAAUUGGUAGGCAACUCAUUCUCCGGUUUUAUUCCCAACACAUUUGGCAACUUAAGAAACCUUGAGCGGCUUAAUUUACAAGAUAAUUAUUUGACAUCUUCAACUCCAGAAUUGAGCUUUCUAUCCUCGUUGUCAAAUUGCAAGUCUUUAACACUUAUUGCCUUAUCAAAUAAUCCACUAGAUGGCAAUCUUCGUAAGACGUCUGUCGGUAAUCUUUCUCAUUCUUUGGAAAUCUUUCUCAUGUACAAUUGUAACAUUAGUGGCGGAAUCUCUGAAGAGAUUAGCAACUUGACCAACUUGACAACCAUUAAUUUAGGAGGCAAUAAAUUGAAUGGAUCAAUUCCGAUUGCCCUUGGCAAAUUACAAAAGCUACAAUAUUUGGGUCUUGAAGAUAACAAAUUAGAAGGAUCAAUCCCAGAUGAUAUUUGUCGUUUGGAUGAACUGUAUGAAUUGGAGUUGGGUGGCAAUAAGCUUUCAGGAUCAAUCCCUGCAUGCUUCGGUAAUCUGAUUGCUCUGAGGAUACUGUCGUUGGGUUCCAAUGAGUUAACUUCUAUUCCCUUAACUUUUUGGAACCUUAAGGAUAUCUUGCAACUCAACAUUUCAUCAAAUUAUUUUACUGGUCCACUCCCAUUAGAGAUUGGAAAUUUGAAGGUUUUAAUUGGAAUUGAUUUUUCGAUGAAUAAUUUUUCAGGCGUUAUCCCAACAGAAAUUGGAGGCCUAAAAAAUCUAGAAUAUCUCUUCUUAGGAUAUAAUAGAUUGCGAGGAUCGAUUCCUGAUUCAUUUGGGGAUUUGAUAAGUUUGAAAUUCUUGAAUUUGUCCAAUAAUAAUCUCUUUGGGGCUAUUCCUGCAUCUUUAGAGAAACUCUCAUAUCUUGAAGAUCUAAAUCUUUCUUUCAACAAGCUAGAAGGAGAAAUUCCUAGGGGAGGAUCUUUUGGAAACUUCUCAGCUGAAUCAUUUGAGGGAAAUGAAUUAUUAUGUGGUUCACCCAAUUUACAAGUCCCGCCAUGCAAAACUAGGAUCCACCACACAUCAUGGAAAAAAUCUCUUCUCCUGGGGAUUGUCUUGCCAUUGAGUACUACAUUAAUGAUAGUAGUCAUUUCGUUGAUCCUAAGAUAUCGACAGAGAGGAAAACAACCAUCGAAUGAUGCUAAUAUGCCACUAGUAGCAACGUGGAGAACAUUUUCAUACCUAGAACUUUGUCAAGCAACAGACGAAUUCAGUGAAAACAAUCUAAUCGGCAGAGGAGGUUUUGGCUCUGUUUAUAAGGCAAGACUUGGGGACGGGAUGGAGGUUGCAGUGAAAGUUUUCAAUUUGCAAUGUGGAAGAGCGUUCAAGAGUUUCGAUGUUGAAUGUGAAAUUAUGAAAAGUAUUCGCCAUCGAAACCUUAUCAAAGUUAUUAGCAGUUGUUCAAAUGAAGAGUUUAAAGCGUUGGUAUUAGAAUACAUGCCUCAUGGAAGUUUGGAGAAGUAUCUGUAUUCAAGUAAUUGCAUUUUGGAUAUUUUUCAAAGAUUGAACAUAAUGAUAGAUGUUGCAUCAGCUUUGGAAUAUCUGCACUUUGGUUGUUCAGCUCCAGUAAUUCAUUGUGACUUAAAGCCCGACAAUGUAUUGUUAGAUGAUAAUUUGGUUGCUUAUUUGAGUGAUUUUGGCAUCGCGAAGCUCUUAAUUGGAGAAGAUCAGUCUAUGACUCAAACGCAAACACUUGCCACAAUAGGUUAUAUGGCACCAGGUUUGUUCAAUAUAAACAUUUUCUAUUUCUUGUAAACUUCCUAAUAAGUUAUUUAUGUUUCAUGAUCUUCAUUAGAUCAGGAAAUUAUUGUUAAUGAUAUAUCUUACUAUGUAACUGUUGCAAUUCAUAGAGUAUGGAAGAGAAGGACGAGUAUCCACAAAUGGAGAUGUUUAUAGCUUUGGAAUUAUGUUAAUGGAAACUUUUACCGGGAAGAAACCCACAUAUGAAUUUUUUAAUGGAGAAAUGACAUUAAAGCAUUGGGUUAAUGAUUGGCUACCCAUUUCCACUAUGGAAGUUGUUGAUGCUAAUUUGCUAAGUCAGGAGGACAUACAUUUUGUUGCAAAGGAGCAAUGUGUGUCAUUUGUCUUCAAUUUGGCUAUGGCGUGCACUGUGGAAUCUCCUGAGCAGAGAAUCAAUGCAAAAGAAAUUGUAACAAAACUCUUAAAAAUUAGAGACUCAUUACUUAGAAAUGUUGGAGGCAGACGUAUAAGACAAUCAAAUUUAAAUUGAUUCUACCCCUCCACUACUUGCUAUCCUUUUCAGAGACUUGAACAAUUAUCCUUAAUACAAUUUUUGUUGAUGUGCUUUGUUAUUGCUCUUACUCAUGUUUAUUUCUCUAUUUCUUUAAUUUGCAUGCAUGUAUUUUUCGUUCUCUUUUAUGUUUUUGUUGGUUUGUAUGUAGUUUGUUUUUAGGUUGAUUAUGUCCUCCCCUAAUUAGACGCAUCCUUUUUAUGUUUAUUCAAUAAAGCUUCUCUAAUACUAUCGAGGUUCAUCAAAAGAAAAUUUUAAAUUAAUUUUCUUUUCUUUGACAGGUAAUGAAAUUCUAAUCUUCAUAGUGAAUAACUUCAAUAAUAGAGUGUAAGUGUAUUAGUAGUUAUGGUUGUUUUUUGAACCUGGAGUCAAAAGCAAUUUAAUAGCAACAAACAAGUCUCUUGUAUUAUAGGCAAAAUUAUUUUCAUUAAUCUUAUUUUUCUACAUGUUCUCCUAUUUUCUCCAUUUAUCUUCGC
This 71236-nucleotide long non-coding RNA is filed under the name Citrus maxima (pomelo). RNAcentral describes it as "long non-coding RNA (CMAX_LNC000191)". Lineage: Eukaryota; Viridiplantae; Streptophyta; Magnoliopsida; Sapindales; Rutaceae. The record is from RNAcentral.